GAUGUUGGUCUUGCAUUACACCAUAAGCACUCUAUGCCUUAACCCUAACCUUGCAAACGUUUUCUUUUUGGAGAAUGUUGCAAACAAAAAGCACUUUGUGACAAGCUGCGGAGCGACCUUAUCAAGGUAUGCAGCUAGCAAUCUCUCAGCUUUCAUUGUUUAAGCUAGUAGUAACUUUUGCAAGCUAUGUACAUGAUGUAAUGUAGCUAACAAUUCUUCAUGCAAGUGUGUUACAUAGCACUCACAAAAUGCAUGUAACUUAUUAUACUUAUGUCCAUUGGUCCCCACUCCAUCUCUAUAUAUACUCGUAUGUGCGUUUUCUUCAGAAUUCUAGAUAUAUUCCUUCAGCUAUUUCACUGUCAUAUUUGUCUUGAGAAUAUCUGUAAUGACUUGUCUAGUCAAACUCUACGACAUCCAUCCUACGGAAAGAGAAAAAAAUUUGAGACAACCCAACUAUUGGUGUAAUGCAUAUCCAGAACUUGAAUUGUAUGGUAUCCCUGCCUAAAUUAGUACAUUUAGUACAUGUUUGGUUACUCAUUAAGCCAUCAGCAGUUUCUGGAAGUAUAUAAAUGAGCUGCAACACAUGGCGUAGCCUUUGUCUUAAAUUUUGUUGGCAACACCGAACUGACUUGACUAAGCAAACACAUAUUUGCCCUAAUUUUCUUGGUGCACGGAGGAGAUGUCAGAACCCAGUACAGAUCCAGAAUAUACUUCUACAUGGCGCAUUUUGAAAUAGGCACCUCAAGUUUCAAAAUCGAGGUUGUACAACCAAACCCUACCGUAUGUUUAGUUUAAGUACCUAAGCACGAAGCCUUUUCGACGAAAACAGUAAUGUUCCUGCUGGAAUUUUACAAAAAUCAAAGCCGUAAAAUUUUUUAAAAAUUAAAUUUCAGAUAAGAUAUUUUGAAAUGCGCUACAUGUUUUACUAUCUUUAUCAGCUGGGUAGCUUUCACCAAAAUUACCGACCUGUCAUACAACUAUUUACAAUAACUUUACAGAUAACAAUGUACCAUAGUAGUGGCAUGCUUUUAUAUUCUACAGAUUUCCCUUGUACAGUGUAGAAUGAACGGCUACUUGAAAGGUGAAAUGAAAAUAAUUGUAUGAUCUUAAAGUUUCCUUUCGCUCUGUCCAUUCUUCUUCUUUUCUUUCAUGUCCAGGUUUCUUCUAUUCUCUUCUGAUGAAGUAAUGGGAUAUGCGCUGUACUCGUAAGUUGUAUGUGAAGUGUUUUGUUGGUGCUCUCGUGGGUGUGAAGGAACCUUAAAGCACCUGGGACCUUACAGUUUCUAUCAUCUUUCAUCUUUAUACAGGUAAUAGAUAUAUGAUAAGGAGCGUGUCGAUAAAGCCAUCGACUGUCCCGUCAUUGAUUGAACAUCGCACCAACCAGCUGAGGUAGAGAAGGGGGGGCUAUCUGUUAUCUGAUGGACGAUAAAAAUGAAGUAAUCAGAUCAGUUCCUUUCAGGCAAAUGUUUCUUUCACACAGCUUUUGCUUUCCUCUAUAUAUUUGAGCUUUUGAUUACUUGGAAAUCCUAAUCUAGCAGAGCUGUUCAAGGUGAUGCUUAUGCUCUCACCUAGAAGUCAAAAUUUCAAUUUGUAAUGUUCUGCACCUUUGAUUUCGGAUUAGCAUAAAGGAAUUGUUUCAGAAGUCAAAACUUCAAAAAUUAUAUAUGAAAAAAGUUCUUAAAUUUCUUUCCAUUUCUCGUACUUUAUAAGUUCCUAAGAUCUUUACUCAAACGAAAACUGUUAGUGUUUUUUUGAACAUCUCUGAAGAAGCUUCAGUCGAAUCAAACAAACCCCAAUCAGGUCCGCCAAGUCGCGGUUAUGUGCUAAAUGCGACAUUGUUCCUUUAAGGCCCAUCUGAAUCAGCAAUUUCAAAAGCUUGUCUCCUGACCCACCUGUUCGGUGUGUUCCGUUUGGAAAGGAAGCAUAUUUGUCAAAAGAUGAUAGGAGGAAGCAGGAUCAAUCCACUCAAUUCUUAUCCUUUCCAGUCAUGGUCUCCCCCAUAUUUACCAUUUUCUGCAAUGAACACCAUCCUCACAUUCCAAGGACAUAGCACAUGAUUCGGACCAUAUAUCUCUCUUUCCAACCUGGUACAGAUCUCCAUUGUGAACUACUUUGUGUUUGUGCGCGUUCAUAAACUCUGCGCUUUCACUUGUUUACGCGUCUAAUCUGUAUCUUAUUUGAGAUUCUUUGCUUAUUUGGUUACGAAAGCAUCAUGAUUUAACUCUGCUGAUCACUUAGCACCAUAUACAUGUUCGCGAUAUUUAACAAUGAAUUUGUCGGGUCCAUUUGUUAACCAAAUAAUCAUACGUGAUUAACUCCCUUAGCAGCUGCCUUUUCUGUUGUUGUACGGCUAAAACUGAGUGCAAAAAUAUUCUAUUAACUCCUUAAACCCCUAACAUGUGCUUGCUAAUUACUUGUUCUAUAAUUUAUUCACUAAUCUCAAUUAUAGGAGACCACUUGACCUCUGCAGUGUAUUGGAGACCCAACUUGGGAAUCUUUUGGAGUAAAUGUGGACUUCGUUUUUAGAUCUAGGUCGUAGAUCUCAGAUCAAUGGUGCUUUAUAUGAUUAUCUAUAUGAUUUAUUCAAAUAUUAAAUUAAAUUUUAUUUGAUUUAAUCUAAUGAUCAUGUAAAACAGAUCAUAGAUUAAAUCAAAUAAAAUGUAAAACAGGUCAUAGAAAAUAAUAAAUAUAAAUUAUUGUAGGUUGUACUCAUAACUGUCCCAUAUAUAGUCAAGCGCGUGCAAUGCGAGUAGAGUAAAAGAAUAACAAUUCAAACUAAAUGUUAAUUAAAUUAUAAUUAUAUAAAAUUUCUUUGGAGCCUAUAUAUUUUGAUGAUCACUGCUUCUGUAUAUACUAGGAAAAAUAUUUUAUGAGGUUGUAGAAAUGAUGAUGGUGACAAUUUGUGAUCAUAAAAGUAGAGCUCAUUAAGACACUGAAAUGUAGCUGUAAAGGAAAAUUUAUAAAUAUAUUAGCCAUGAUAACUCAGAGAAUAUUUACUAAACAAGUUAUAAUUAAUUAUCCUGCAAAGAUAUGCACUCAAAAUCAUAAGUUCACCCCCUAAAAGAAGGCGAAGGAUAUAAUUAACUAGAAUCUCGAAUUAUUUGUAAAGGGAAAGAAGCUCCAUCAAUGCAUGCUAAUUAAUUAAUUAGUUAAUUAAACAAGUGGUGUACUAUGAAGUCCUUUAGUAUAAUGGGGAUGUAUGAUCCCUUUGAUGUGCUUCUUCUUUAGCUUAAAAAUUAAGUGCUUGUUGUUGUAGUUUCCUUAUGUUAACAAAAUAGCUGCUAACUUUUAUAUUUAAAUCAUGUGAUGUUGAAGUAACCAAUUAUUAUAUACAUACCCCACUCAACCAUUGGUGAUCUAGCAAUUUAUACAUCACGCAUGAAUUUAUAGUAUAUAUCGUGAAGCAAGUGUACUAUCAAAUAUGUACCAUCAAAUAUAUCAAUAUUCUUGUCGACACGAAAAUAUUCUAUUUAAACAACUUGCAUAUACAAGGAUGAGAUUUCCCCAAACUUUUUAUUUAGUUGCUUCUUUGUCACGCUAAUUGUAACUAGAUCAUCGUGCUAACCCCCAUGUGCAUUGUAUUGUAGAUUGUUUUGGAUAAAAGAGAAAAAGCUAUUGAAAAGAAUAAAUUUUAAAAGAAGACCACACAAAAUGAUUCCCUGUAGUAGCAUUUGGGAAAAGCUAUUCCCACUACUACUAGAGGUGCAUUUGCCAAAUAAAUAAAGUAUCUAAUAAUUUUUAUGUAACAAAAAGCAGCUGGAAUUCUCUUUCGAAUUAACCGUUCGGCUGAAACAAUAUUUUUGUGUAAAUAUUAGUUUUUGUAUAGUAUUUUGUUGGAUCAAAUUCAAUAAAUCUAACAUAGCUAUAGAAAAAAUGGCCGUGUUGUUUAUACCAUUAACAACUCUUAUUUAAUAAAUCUAAUUAAAAUUUAGUCAAAAUUUACUAUAGGGUCAACAAUAUAUAUAUAUAUAUAUAUAUAUAUAUAUAUAUAUAUAUAUAUAUAUAUAUAUAUAUAUAUAUAUAUAUAUAUAUAUAUAUGUGUGUGUUUUUUUUUUCGAAAAAAGAGAAUANUCUAUAGGUUUAGUUAACUUAAAAACAAUCUUUUAAGAAAUUUGAUAAAUUUUGUUCUAGAUAUGAGAACUAGAACUAAUGUUCUGAGGAUAGUAGUAAAAAAUUUCUCAUAAGUAAAAGUCGGUAAGUAAAAAGAUAAGUGAACUACCUAUUUUCUUAUUAUAGCUUUCACGCACUUUAAACUAAAGAUCUAUUAAAUUUACCAAAUUUAGUAUAAAUUGCCUCUUACGCCGUUAAACUAGAAAACGCCUCUUAUCGACCAUUAAAAUUACAAAUUUUGAAACCCUUUGAUCAUUAGGCAAAUGAUGUCGAAAAGAUUUGAAAUUUGAUUUCUAAACACUUUAAGUGGUAUAGAUCAUGUUCAACGGAGCCGAUCGUCAAUUUGCAAGCUUUAUCAUCGAAAACAACUCGAUAGUAAAAUGUCCCGUUUACUAUCGAGAGUAUUCUAGCUCAACUCAUAUAUAUAUAUAUAUAUAUAUACUUUUCAUUGAUAAUAAUCCGAGUUGGGUUUUUAUAUUUAUAUAUACAUAAAUAAAUAAAUUGUGGUUGUUAGAAGUCAAAAAUAAGGUGACGUACAUUUCCUCCAAUAUGGGAAUCGGUUUACCUCGGUGGACCAGAGUCCACCGGUCCACCCGAAACCUUCAAAUCCCACAACGUGUGAGUGUCUCCGUCGUGCCACGUGGACCCAUCGACACCGCUCAUCAGGUGUGCCCACACCCCGAUGUGAUCCUUCGGUCCCCAAAGAAGCAAUUUGGGAACUUCUCCUGUAGAAACUAUUGCUUGCACCCGGUGUACCACACAUAACAGUAUAUAUGACAACUAUACUAUUUAAAGUAAUUUUGAAAAUUUAUUAUCUAGAUAUUAAGUAUAACGAAUUAUUAGAAUAUUUUUAGAUUCAUUUUGAAUCAGCAUCAUCAGAGUCCGUUCUAAGCUCAAAUUUUUAUUUUCACCAUUUAAUGGCACAAAUGACUCUGCACGUGAAUAGGGUUUUAGUUCAUGAGUUUUUUUCUUUUUCAGAUCGAUUUAUUAGUUAAUAGAUAUUACAUUUAUAAAAAAGAAAAUAAAAUUAAAAAAAGGUCAUGAAAUGGAGUUUCAGAUGUGUGGUCUAUGAGACAUACUUAUACACCCGGUGCACUCCAAAACCUUCUCCUUUUUAAGACCCAAAAAGGUACCACCGAAAGAGAGGACACGGUGGGCCCCAGCGGCCGGCCCAUGAUUUCCCACUACGCCACGAGCGGGUCCCACCACGUCCAUUUUGGGUCACCGCGACGAAUCAGGACCGUCGAUUUGGAGGCCUUUUACGAUGGACGGGUCUCAAUCGCCCCGCCUUUGUACCGACACCGCGAAUGGGUUAGGUUGGGCUCCGAUUACGGACUGGGUCCGAGUCGAUAAUCGAACGGCCAUGAUUGGGGGACCACGCACACAAAGUGGGAAAAUCCCUUUUUAUUAAACUUUUCCCUUAAUAAUAAUAAUAAUAAUCAUAAUCAUGAUAUCAUGGAGUUUGAUAAAUAUUAAAUAUAACCUCAUCAUCAUGUUUCCUUAAACCUUUUCCAAAAAAAAAAAAAAGGGUCAAGGAGAAUGUACUUGAUUAAGAACAAAUUAACCUAUUGAACUUUUAGUCCCUCUUUUAGUUCAUAUUCAAAAAGAUGUUCAAUGCAUUCAGGUACUUUCCCUUUUAGUGAUGAAAAGAUGCAUAGCAAAUAAUAAAAUAAAUUAUUAUGUUUGUGUCAAUACACCUGCAAUUUUACGAUUUCAUACAUACGUAAAAAUGUUGUGCACAUUCAAAUAUUAUGCUCACAAUGUUACAAACAUGCGUGCUUUCUCGUCAUUGUCACGUCUAUAAAUUAUAAAUUACUUACAAGCAAUAUCAUAAGUUUGUGGUUUAAGCCUUCUCUCCACUUCUAAUAAAAAGCUUGUUGUUCUUGAUCUCGUAUUAAUGUAAAAAUUAUUAAUAAUUUUAAAGAAAAACUACUCAAGCAGGCUGGUAUUGAUUAAAAUUUUGUUCUUCUCUUGGUUGUUUCUACUCCUUAAAAUUUCUCUCUCGACCCAACUCAAACCUCUCUUGAGCUUUUCGCGGCCAAGUUUUCGUCGGAAUACGAAAAACUUAAUCGAUUUGAAAUUAAAUACUUGAGCUUAUGUAAAUAAAUUUUCUCUGGAAAAAAAAAAUUGUAGGGAUGGUGACGAAAUUGUGAAAAUUUAGAAAUCAAACAGUUCAAGCCUAAUUUGAAACAAGAAUUGGAGGGAAUGGACUUGGACUUGACUCGAGCCUAAUCUAGAUUCAAUCAAGCUCAACUUGAUGCCAAAAUGAUUUAGAGCUUGAAAAGUGUGCAUAAGGUAGGUAAUUUGGCGCAUCUAGCAUUUAACAUUGCAAUGAUUUCUCCAAUGCCAAUGUUUCCAAUUAUAUAAUAAUAAUAAGAAUAAUAACAAAGACUUAAUUAUAUCACACCGACUGUUCCUAGCACAACUAACAAAGCGCUUGAUCGUUGGUAUCCGAGAUUCCAAGUUCGAAUAUAAAUUUAUUCACAUUUUUAACUAAGUUUAUUUUUAAAUGAAAUAAACAAAGCAGUGGCAUGCUACCUACCUCUCUUAAAAAAAACAAAAAAACAAUUUAAUCUAUUAAAAUAAAAUACGUAUGUUUCAUUUAAUAAAAUAAUAAAUAGAAUUAACUUUGGUACUAAGUACUACUAUUUUUUUGGCAUUAAAUUUCGAGUUCUUCUUAGACCUGGAUUUUUGGUGCGUAAACAAAUCCGAGAAUCGAGGGUUCCAAAGAUUCCGUUAUAAACCCAACAGAUAUCAACGUAACGGAAGUAUAAAAAAUAUAUAUAAUAAUAAUAAUAAUAAUAAUAAUAAUAAUAAUAAUUAUAAUUUUUCGUUCCCACCACGGCGUUGGUCCAACACUUUUUAUAUUCUACCCCCCUCUGAAAUUCGCAAAUUUUACUAAAGCCAUCACAUUAUUUUAAAGGUUAAUUUCAUACAUGUUUAUGUAAAUAUAGUAAGUUAUAAAUAUAUCACUAUAAAAUUUAAUUUUUAUAUGUUGUCCCUACAAAAGUCCUAAUAUUUUCAAAUAUAUACCUAACGUUUGAAUCCGUUAGAAAAUUUUAGUUAACCAUAAAUUAAAUACUUAACUCUGGUUAAUUUAUGAAAUAAUUUGAUAUUGUUGUUUUUCUUACAUUAUACUGUUGUGGUUUUUGGAGGAAUAUAUUUAUGAUGACAAAAAUUAUAUUUUACUUAAAAUAUAAAUAAUUCUAUAACGGUAACAAAUCGGAGGAAUAUAUUUAAAAAUACUAAAAUUUUUGUACGAAAAAUACAUAAAACUUGAAUUUUGUAGAGAUAUAUUUAUAAUUCACUAUAUUUGCAGGGAUAUGUAUCCAUUUAACCCUUAUUUUGAAGAUAAAAUGUAUUAUUGGUCCCUGCACCAUCUCAACGUUAACUUCGUUUCAAAAUUUUAACAUAUUUUAUACUUUUAUAUCAAAUAUUAAAAAUUAUUCUUUUAACAAUAAUAAAUACUGUAACUGAAAGCAUAGAAAGUUGCAAUUUCGGGAUAAUAGAGGGACCAGACAUAAAUUUUAUUAUCAUUUUAUUUUAUUUAAUUACACACCAUAAUCAAAAAACAUUUCCUUGGGAGAGCGAAAUCUAUAUCCGGGUGAAGAAGAGGCGGAGGAGAGAGAAAGCUCUCAACCGCUUCCCGCCCCUUCUCUCUCCUCCUCCCUUCCACUUUCUCUCUCUUCUCCCCACCUCCUCCCCGGCCCCCAAAAGAAACCCUAGAAAACCCUAAUCUCCCUCUCCCACCCUCAUCUCUCUCGCUCCCGUCGCAGGAACGAGAGAUUGGCGAGCUCCUCUCCUUCUCCUCGGUCGAUUCGUGCGGCGGCGCCCCAUCCCGGCGCCCUCUCUCGUCCGGAUUUGGUGCCCCGUCACCGAAAAAGCCCUAAUUUUACCUUGCUCUCUCUUCUCUUCUCAUGCGGUUUCCGUGAGGAGGUUAGGUAUCUUCUGCUGGGGUAGGAUUUGAAGCUUGGGUUCUUGGAGUUGGUGGGUGGUAUGCGGUUUCUCUGUUUUGGGGGGUUUGAAUAGAUGGUUUUGCUGCGGUUUGAUUUGAGAUGACGGGUUUUUGGGUGGGUUAAGGAGGUGGUAGGGUGUGGGGGGCGUGGGAUAUGGAUGAGAGCGGGGGAUCUUUUGUUGCGGUGAGGAGGUUAUCUCAGGGAUCGGAGAGAAACGCCACUGGAUGCCACUCUUCGCCAGGUAUAUAUUGAUUGGGCCUUUUCCAGUUGCAUGAUUCUAAGGGGUCUGCUGAUUUGGGGUUUUUAUGGCAAUGCUAUUGAUCUUAUUGCCAGCUCUUAUUAUUCUUGUUAGCAUUGUGCCUUUCUUGAUAAUUUGCGCCAAUAUGUUGUUUUUCUUCUGAUGGUCUUUGUUGAUUAAGUUUUUGUAAUUGCUAACAGCAAGUAGGGAACCAGCCACUUGCUUUGACUGAUUUGGUAUAUGCUUUACCAUAAGAAGCUGUUUAUGCUUGUCAUUGAUCAGCAGUAAGAUUUGGUCAUAAUAAGAUUUGAUCAGCAGUAAGAUGUGUUUAUAUCAAGUGUUUCAUUGUUUGGGUCGAGAAAUCUGGUCGAGAAAUCUUCAAGCUAGUUUAGAGCAUUUUUUAACUAGGUCUGCCAGUAAAGUUUUUUGCUUCGGCGCAUCUUGGCGGAAUCCUAGUUAGGGAGACAACCGUGUGCUAAUGUGAUAAUGCUUUGUACAUCUUGCCAUCGUAGUGUCUUGAAGUAGCACAGUCUUGUGCAACAUGAGACCUGUGAAAAAUUUGAACUAAAGGAGUACACAAGAUGUUAGCAAGCAGAAAUGAGAGAAAAUAAUGCAGGAGUCUAAAGAAUGUGGAUGACAAUGCCUGUUAAAGAAAUUCAAAUCAUGAUAAGAUUAAGAAUUGACAUAGUCAUCAUGGUUGGAGGAUCCAAUGGUUUUUGCACCAUACGGUGGUAGAGGCUAGUAUCAAGGGUCGCAUCUUCUAUUCUUGAAGGGACCUUAUGUUUAAUUCUGAGAAAUAACAUACGUAAAGUACUAUAUUUAACAGGUUUUAGUUCAUCAUAGUUCUUAGUUGGUGGCUUCUCACUUUGCUUAUCAUCUUUCACUAUGGCGGCUAUAGGAAAGUUAUUCUUGCCUAGUUUGCACCAGUCAAGUGGCUGACGAACUCAGUGUGGAGUGAAGGCAGGUUGAGUCAUGCUGAACCCCGAAGUAGUAGAUUUUCAUUGUUUAGCAAUUAUUUUAAUUUCUUUGAAUAGAGUUUCCUGUUUAGAAGAUCACAUGGCUAGCUAAUUUUAAGAAUGGGAUGCAUGCUUGAGUUGUUUUUGAAUACUACUUUGCUAUUUCAUGACUUAUGAUGGAUUGAAUCUUAUUUUUAAUGUUUUGUUAAUUUGUUAUUAAUGUUAACGGUAGCUACUGUGCAGUAAAGGCAAUUCCUGUCUUGAUUGUCAUACUUGGUAGUUUGGUGCUAUCUUGACAUUUUUCUGUAUUGCUUCUUGAUUUUUGAUUAGUGUUAUUCAAGUAAAUUCUUUUGAAUUUAAGAGGAAGCUAAUAAUUACUUGGUUCUGGUUUAUAUAGCUGAGGUUGUCACUGGAUCAACAGCAUGGAUUGGAAGAGGCCUUUCAUGUGUUUGUGCCCAGAGAAGAGAAAGUGAUGCUCGCCUGUCAUUUGAUCUGACCCCUCAUCAGGUAAUAUAAUGUUUUUAAUGUCAGUUCGCAUAUUUUAUAACAGAUUUUUCAUUUUGUUGUUGUGGACAUUAAUAUUGAUACUUUUAGUCCUUAAUAUCUUCUUUGGAUUUUUUAUAUGCUGUUUAAUUUCAGGAGAGUUGCUUGGUUAUCUUGAAAAUGCAAAUAAGUUUACCCUAAAAAUCUUAUUUUAUAUACUUCUUGUGCAGGAAGAAUGCCUGCAGAGGUUACAAAGGCGCAUAGAAGUUGCAUAUGAUAGUUUGAACAAAGAACAUCAGGUGUCAAAUUCAUUCCUAGUACUGCUUUGGUUUUAGAUAUUUGUUUUUUGCUCUGGUCUCCUAUUUGUUAUUUUACGUAUGGUCUUGCAAUGAGCCGGAGAUAUUAAAGCUAUUUUUUCCUUAAAUUAUUGUUUGUUAUAAAUUGGUCUAUGCAGUGUUGCACUUUAGACCCUAAAUUUUUGCUCUAUCUUUCAUUUUGGAAGCUAUAGAUCAAUAGAUGCUUGACAUGUGAUUCUUUGUUAGUUUUGAUAUGGGGUUUAUUGAACUUAGAUUGCCAUCGGGAGCUUCCUUUCUUUCUAUUGGUUGAUGGUGGGAGUGUGACUGCAUUGCUUUGGUUGCCUAUUUUCUUCUUAUUUGUAAAAACAUUCAGUUGACCUUUUGACUAGCUAAAGUUGAAAACUUGGUGUCUGAUUGAACUGGAAGAAAGAAAACAUAAUUCCUUCAAAGGAGAGAUCAUCCCUAUAUAUAUAGAGAGAGAGAGAGCUAGACUGGUAUACUAACGGAGACCUUCGUGCUAUCAAGUUGUUUUCAAUGACACGGCUUCCAAAUCGACGAUCGGCUCCGUUAGACUUGAUCUACACUAUUAAAAAUAUUUGGAAACUAAAUUUCAUAAUUUUUCGGCAUCAUUUACCUAUCAAACGAGUAGUCUAAAAAUGAAUGACUGAAAAUAAAAAUCUCAUAAAAUAUGAUGAUAAAAGACUUGAAUUUAAGAUCAGAGGUACUGAUCUUACUCUAAAUAGUGAAAAGAAUUUUCUAUAAAAAUUUCAUUAGAUUUGGAUUAUUUUACAUCUUUAAAUUCACAAAUGCAUCACAUCUACUAUUAAAAUUGUCAAUUUUGAGACCUUUUGAUCACUAACCAAAUGAUGCCGAAAAAUUAUGAAAUUUAGUUUCCAAAUAUUUUUAAUAGUGUAGAUCAAGUCUAACGGAGCCGAUCGUCGAUUUGGAAGCCGCAUCAUUAAAAGCAACUUGGUAGCACGGAGGCCUGCGUGCUAUUGAUCGUUGAUACAUAUAUAUAUAUAUAUAUAAUGAGAAUAAUGAUGUCAUCUAAUGUGAUUCUUUCAUUAGAAAGUAAACUUCGACAUUGUUAAACUAGCAGUGCCUAUUAAGCUAGAUCUGGCUCUAGUUGGACAACUUUAUAUAAUGAUAGACUAAAGUCAUUAGAGGGUUGUUAUUGCUUUAAUUCGUACUCACAUAUUAUUUGUAUCAAGAUGUUGGCAUCCAAAGCUUCUCCUAUAAUACCUCCUAUCCUUCUGUUGCUGGAAGCAGCAAUAUUUUUGAUGCUUGAGUUGCAAGUAUAUUUGACAUAUCUCAUGUUUUGAAUUGCUUAGGAAGCCUUAAGGGCCCUUUGGUAUGCUUCUUAUCCCGGAGUCGAGCUUCUUGGAUUAAUAUCUGAACAAUGGAAGGAAAUGGGAUGGCAAGGAAAAGAUCCAUCUACAGAUUUCAGGUACUCUUAUUCUCGCUUUCCUUCUAUGAGUGGCUGUUAUACAUACUUCCAUCAAAGUACAGUGAAUGUUUAAGUUGCCCUCACUUAUGUUGAAGUAGUAAGUAUAUAGUGUUCUUUGGUGUUCAGGGGUGGCGGUUUCAUAUCUUUGGAGAAUUUAUUAUUCUUUGCCAGGAACUAUCCUGUGAGUGCUAAUUCUCUCUUUUUACAUGGAAGGUCAUUCCAAUUCUGAUGCGCUUUUAGUUUAGCUUGCUCAGUAGACAGAAAGGAUACAAUUGUUUUAGUACUAAUUGAAAUGCAAAUUUCAAUUAACAACCUAUUGCAGUUAGAGUGAUGAUUGCUGCUAAACUUACAGUAGCAUGCUUCAUUUUUUUAGAAAAGUCUAUGAUUUACUAAACUCUUGAGCGUAAUAAGUUUAGAAUAUGUAGUUUUAUUUGUGCUGCACUUCAAGUAUCUGAUAUCUGAGUUUUGUUAUUACUCGUUUGAUAUUUACUGAGGAUUGUCCAUAUGUUUUUUUUUUAAAAUAAUACUCGAAUGUUCUACAGAUAGAAAAUAAUAUUUGAUCACUCCCAUGCUUUGGCUUAAAGGAACAAUUUUCUUUUCAUGUACGAAAGUGCUUACUGUAGUAAUAGUGUUAAAUCUAUGGUUAGGAUAUUCCUUUGUAACCCAUGUUGCAUGCUUGCACUUGUGAACUUAUUGGUGAAGAAUGAAUGCUUCAAUUUUGGCCUGGGAAAAUGGUUGUCUUUUGCAGAGCAAACUAUGUUUAUUAUGUUGCGUGUAACAAAUCCUUUUUCUUACAGAAAUCUUUCCAGGAUCUUCUCCGAAAGCAGGAUGGUGACCGAGCUUUGUGGGAAUAUCCAUUUGCUGUAGCUGGUGUAAAUAUUACAUUCAUGCUUAUACAGAUGCUUGAUCUUCAAGCUGGUUUGCACUUUUUCUAAUGCUGAAUAUUACUCACUAUUUCUUAUGUUUAUUACUAGUAGAUUCGCAAUUUCACUACUCAAAUUGUACUUCUGUGGCUCUUACAAUUAAGCUUGUCCCUUUUAUUUAUCUGCAGGCAAACCUAGGACAUUGUUGGGAGCAAUUUUCUUGAAGCUACUUUCAGGUAUGUCAAGGAGUUCUGGAGCUGGAAUGUUUUCUUUCAUGUUAAUUAUCUGUUAAUAUUCAAAAAAAAAGAGGAAAUUCUUAUAAACUAGGUAGAUUCCAUGCAGUUUGAGUUAAAUUUUUAAAUGGUAUUCGUUUUACAACUAUGGUUAAGUGAGAGGACCACUAAUGCUAGAACUUUUCAAUCUUCCAUGAGUGUUGCCAAAGCACUUAUGGUAAGAAAGUCUCGACCACGUGAAGCUCGUUUGUUGGACUUCUAUGCCUUUCUGUUGGUUCUGUAAAUCAAGUUUGUUUUAAUGCAAGCUUUUCUCACUCGACUUCUCACUCGAGUCUAAGGAAAUUUUUUGACUGUUAGUCUUAAGGAAAUCAAAAUUAAUCAUUCACCUAAAUGUGCGGCAACUGCAAAUUGGAAAUUGUCUCUUCUUUCUUGAAGUGCUUUGUUCCUUCUGUAAGGAUUCUGAAUUUUGUGAACUGAUGCAAAUGCUUCUUGUGAUUGCAUCUCUUGUGGUACAGAUAAUGAGCGAGUGUUCGACAUAUUGUACUGCAUAACUUUUAAGCUAAUGGAUCAGCAAUGGCUAACUAUGCAUGCGUCAUACAUGGACUUCAAUGUAUGCCUCUUACACAGAACUGUUUACUUAUAUAACUUUUUAAAUAACUAAUGUGAAGCUUUCUGUUUCAACUCUCUACAUGUGUAGACGGUGAUGAAAGCGACACGACGUCAGCUGGAGCGGGAGCUAUUGUUGGAAGAUAUUCAACGCAUCGAGGACAUGCCUUCAUAUAGGCUUCUUGCCCGUUAGCUUAACCACCCACUUCAGCAUCGCAGUUAAGUAGCGGGAUACAGUGAUUACAUGUUCUUUUCUCGAGCCACUGAUAUUUUCCUCAUUUUUUUUUUCCUCCUUUAGAGUGCAUUGUGUUGUUAUUUGGCGUCUUUUGAAAUCACAAAAUGAGGCACAAACUCGUCCUGUUUUAGUUGCUGCAGUUAGUUCCAAGUUCUUUAACUAUUUACAAGUUCGGCUGCGUAGUGCGUACUGGUGAGUAGCUAAUAGCGCUAGGGCGUACUGUACUCUUGUGAGUUGCGUGGAGUGGGGGCAUGUUGGUGUGAAAACUGGUUUGUUGCUUACUACAAACUAAAAAAAUCGGCGUGCAACAGAAAUUUUUUCCGUAGUUUUAGGCUUCUUCUAAUCACCUGUAAUGGUCGCCAUUUUAUUGGGUUAUUGAAUUGAAUGGAUGGUAAAGCUUUGAACAGGAACAGCAUUAAGGUGUUCUAGACAAGUCCAACUUGCAACAUUGCAGGGCAAAAGCGACCUCGUUUCUUAUAUAUAAUGUUGCUUUGUCUCUUCUGGUAAAACACUGGUGAUGGGGCCGUUGCUUUUACUCAUCACUGGUUGGAUUUAUAUAUGUGUUUUAACCAAAAAUAUGAUUCGUCAUCUUCUUCCAACCAAGUGAAAAUCUGUUCAUGUUUUCAUUGCAGUAAAUUUCUGCGAACCCAGCACCACCUUGGACUUACCCUUGUGUUUGUCCUUUGUAAAUAUGUUCUCGGGGUCGGGGUGGGCUGUUGUUGCUGUUGGGGUGUUUUCUUGCGUUUUGUAAGUUGGUGAGCCCCGCAAGCUGAUGACGGUGACGGUGACGAUGACGAUGUGGUGCGCAAGGGAUAAUUAUUAAUGAGAAUGGAUAAUCAAUCGACUCGGCAUGAUCAUGAUGCUGAUCAAUCAGCUAAGCGAUUUGAUGUUGUGGGUAAACAACCAUUCGCAACAUCCUUCACUCUCGUCCUCUAGCGAAGCUCAGCAGAGCCUGCCAAAUUUGCCCGCCUGCAUCAUGUGAGCAUAAGAUUUUGCGAGGAUACGAAUAGCACUUUUCCCAGGCAAGUUGGGGGGCCCACCGAGGCCUACUGUCCCCCGCGAUGGAGUGCCCAAUCAGAAUUCGGAACGCGCGCACGAGACAAGCAAUGAGGGCGCCUCCAAAUGGGGCGGACCUACAAUUACAAAAUCUCGUCAUCAUGAGACAUCCGAAGACAAAGAUCUUUGGCGGGAAAGAUAUACUAUUAUCGAUAGCGUCAAAUAUUUAGCACUACCGAGUUUUUCGCUGUUAAAUUUAGUUCUAUAACUAUUUUUAUCCGUUAGAUUAUAUCAUUUAACCAACAACUCAUUCAACUCUAGAGGGCCCACAUCAUCCUAAUCGUAUAUAUUUUCACCCAAAAAUCGAAAAUCUAAUAACACUAAUAACUUGGUGCUAUUAAUAGCAUUUCAACAUAGUUCUAUAUUUUGGUGGGGGAGGGGGAGGGGGAGGGGGAGAGGGGGAGGGUUGGUUCGGGGUUAAGGAAAAACUAGUUAUUCCAGAGAUAGAGUUAAGUCCAGUGUUAAGGUGGGAUUAUAAUAUUUUUGUGUUUGGUUGAGAAUUGGAGUUAGUCCAGGAUUAAAGAAAAUAGUAUUUGGUUGGAGUAAAUAGGAUACGAAAGAUAAUGGGCAAAAUAGUAUUUUGUUUGGUUGGAAUAGCGGGAUAGGGUGGGGUUAGCAAGGGUUAGCUAACCCCACCCCCCUAAAAUCAUAUUUGAGAAUAAAAUCGGGAUUAAGAGGUUAUCUCACCCCUUAACUCCGAAUCAAACACAAGCGUAUAAAUUGACAACAGAGUCUAUUUAUAUAUGUAUAUAAAACUCUUGUAGUCUGGCUCAUGGGACCAGUUCGUAGAGGAGGGUUGACACUACAGCAGGUGUAUAUACUACAUAGUACGUUCCUUCCAACUCUUUUCUCUCCUUAUUCAUGCCAAAAUCUUAGUGGGUUUUAGCCCUAUACUCUUAUGAGUAUGAUCGCAUUCGUACUCAUAAGUAGUUUUUGAUGAUAGAGCUUCCGAAUCGACGAUCUAGAUCGUUGAAUAUUAUCUAGAGCAUUUACAACUUCUAUAAAUCAAAUUUUAUAAUUUUUCGAUAUCAUUUACUUUACGAUCAAAAGUUCAUGAAAUUGACCAUUUUUAAUAGCCGGUAUGUGAUACUUGCUAGUUUAACGUUGUAAAAGAAUUAGAAUAGCUUGAAUUUUUUAUAGAAAAUUCUAUUCAUUACCUAGAUAAAGAUCAAUAACCCCGAUCUUAAAUUGAAGGAUCCGAUCAUCCAUUUUUAGGACGUCGUUCGAUUUUGACCGUUCAUUUUAUAUCCGCUUGAUGGACUUUAUAAUGACUUCGAAAAAUUACGAAAUUUAUUUUCUAAAAGUUUCAAAUACUCUAAAUCAUGUUUAACGGUGUGGAUCGUCAAUUCAGAAGCCCCAACAUUGAAAACUACUUAUGAGCACGAAAGGCUCUAUACUCAUAAAGAGUAUAGUAGCCAUACUAUAUAUAUAUUGGCCUUUUGUUUCACAUUUUUGUUUUGCUCUUUGGUUUAAAUGAAACAUGCUAUAUAUGUGUUUCUUUCUUAUAUAUAUGUAUAUUUGUUUCGUUUCCUUCUUUUAAUUGAUUGGUGCUGCAUGUAGCUAGUAUGCAGAACAUAGAGACCUAAAAAUGUGGAUUAAAAAAAAAGGAAAAAAAAUUUUGCACCACUACAUUACAACAUUCAUCCCAAAAGAAAAAACACACAAAAAAAAAAAACCCAAAGCAGAUGCUAUAUGCCUUUUGACACACGCCAUCAUAAAAAGCUGCAGCAUUUGGAUUUUUUUUUUUUUGUUUUGUUUUGUUUUUGCGGUUCUCUACAGAGAUGAAAUAGUUUCAACUUUUGAGAUCAUUUAAGGUCCUUGACAUAUCACCUACCAAAAUGAAAGUGAUUGACCCCAGAAAUUAAAGAUGGUGCGAGGAGAAGUAUACAUAUGAUUUGACAAUCCAGCACAAGUUGAUGAGGAAAUGCCAAAGUAGUGCAACAAUUAAUGGCCCCCUUUUAGUGUUUUCUUCAUUAUUAGCAUUUACCUGAAUUAUUUUAAACAGCUAAACAUUUCAAUCUCUAGCCAGAUAUAUAUUAAAAACCUACAUUUAAUUAACCUUUUUAAUUAAUGUCUAUAUUUUUAGCACUUCAACUCCUUUUUUGUCACGGUUGGUAUUUUUAAGUAUUAUUAAAUACUUAACUAUAAGAGAUAUAAUACUGAAAGAAUGUUAAUCCCUAAUGGAACAAACAUUAAUAGGUUAAAUGAAUUUAUGCGUCAGAAGGGCAAAGCACGAAUAUAUAGCUGCUGUUUUAAGAGGUGGAUGUUGUUACCCAAAAAUUUUUGUAUUAAAUCGUGAUUCAGCUACCUAUAUGAUCUAUGUACCUUCAUUUCGUUGUCUCCUAAGCUGUUUUACUACUUUUGCUAGAUAAUUCCUGAAUUAAUAUAGAUAAGAUAAGCUGAAACAUCAAGCAAUAUAUACAUCUUGAUGUAUAUGUUUCAUUGCACCUAACAUAUAUACAUAUAUGCUACAUAGAGUAUCUACAACAAUCCGAUGUCGAAAGACACGGCUCGAGUUUGAUAGUUGAACAGUGAAGAGAAGGAAAAGGAAGAGCUAAGAUAUAUGCAGAUAUUUUGUGGCGCCUUUAGGACUAGGAUUUUUGUUUUUUUAUUGUGAAGGAACUGUUUAUCGAUUCUUAAAGCACCAUACAUGCACUAAUGCUUUCAUAUCAAGAAUCAGGCCAUAUAAACCUCUUUGAAAAAAAUUUUCUAAAUACAUCAGUUGUACAUAUUCUGGUAGUAAAUAUGGGCUACUAAGGUCUUAAAGGUUUAAAGGUCGAGUCCAACUUGUGAGAAUAUGGGUCAAAACUCAUAUAUCUCCACCAACAAGGAGAAAAGAAAAUUGUAAGGUUUAACUCCUAGCUAAUAAACAUCUUCUGGAGAUUUAACAACAAUAUAUGUCCCUACUGAUGAUCCCUUUGAACUUUAUCCUCAUCCCUUACUUUUGUUAUUGAAUGACAAAAAAACAAUCACUUAUUUACAAGAGAUCUAUUCUAUUACUAGCAUGUACAGCAAGACGCAUGUUAAGGGCAUGCUGUGCCUAGCCGUAUGUUAGUUGUACUAUUGUUUGAUAAAGUGUUGUUUAAAAUUUUUUGGCAUGCAAUUUUUCUUGUGACAGAAAUAAAAGCUCUUAAUAGAGACCAUAUUUAAUUUGAUGCUCGGAACUCACUGGUUCAAACUUUCUACGGCAAUACAAGUUUACAUAUAACUAAAAGUGAUCAAACUAAUUUGAAAGCAGAAACAAAAGUAAGGCCAAAUAAGCUUGCACUAAUGGUCAAAAUGAAGGUAAGGAACAGUAAAUUCACAACCUGUGAAAAUUUGAAGGGGCUAUAUAUAUUUCACCUGAGAGCUAGAUACUUUUAAGAAGCUGAAGAGAGAGAGAGAGAGAGAGAGAGAGCUAUUUGGAGAGGGGGAAUGGGGGGUGUCACGAUGGUUUGCUCAGUAGGGCGGUCGAGUGGGAAGGAGCAUGGAUGGGAAUGCGAUUUGGAAGGAUUCGGAAAAGCUCAUCAUCUUUUUCACGAAUUAAACAAACAAAUUGAAAAGCAACAAGAAGAACAGCAGCAGAUAAGUUUAUGAGGAGCAUCGAUUGGCCCCCACACUUUUCCAGUUUACAUAUGCACUCAUUCUUCAGAGGAAUAUAGAUUUUUUUCUCUCUGCAACUAUGCUGAUGUGAUAAUGAUGCUUCUGUUUGAGUCAUAAUGGCUUUGCCAAUGAGAAUGACAAUGAAAGCAACAACUGCAGUAAAAGUAAGAGAGAGAGAGAGAGAGAGAUUAAGAGAUGUAUAUAUCUAUUACCAAAUACAUAUAUAAAGAGCUGCAGAUGUUGCUUUUCUUUUUCUCUUUUCUGAAAUAGAUGUUCUCAUUGUCUCUUCUUGUUUUAUAUACAUUCUUAAUUAGUUAGCUGCAGAUGUUCUAGUUGUCUGUUUUGCUUUCUUUAGUUACUGUUCUUGUUUUGUAUAUUUAAUAAUUAGUUUUUUUCAGCUCACAAUUUCUACUUUUAGAUAUUAAUAUCCAGCAUAUAUUUUGGUACUGUGGAUACUGUAGAAGAUAUAUAAAAAGAAAAGAAGCGCUUUGCUAUGUUUGGGUCAAGGACACUGUUAUCUUGAAGAUUCUGAAGUUUCCCAUGCAUAUGUCGCAAUAAUAGAACAUGAUGAGACUACUUGAGACCAAUAUAGCAAAGGUUUUUUUUUGUGAUUAUUUUCCAAUCAUGAUCUUAACAUAAUUUAGAGAACUUCUCUCUUCUUUUUUUCUUUUUGGUGAAUAAAAAAUUUGACAAUAUCCUUCAUCUAAGCAUCAAAGUGUCUCCCCACCUCAAGUCGAACCUCAUGAGAUCUUACCCGUUACCUUAUCAUAACUUAUCACUGGAAAUUUUAUUGGUUUGGCUAAUUUAUAUAGCCCAAAUAAUAAUACAUUAUUAACAAGCAGCUAUGUACGGGUUUUGUAAAAGAGAAGUAAAACUUAGGUCAAACUAGCUAUUACGUACAUAUAGGAUCAAAAUUGGUUAUAUAUAAAGAAACGCGUGACCUUUCCAUCAUGAGAUCUGCAACCAAUGUAUAUAGAAAUAGAAACAUUAAAUUAAUCUUGUUUCUCUUUUUGUGCGCGUGAGAGGGAUAGAGGGGAGCUCGUGGAUCUCUGAAACAAUCAGUUUGAGUGCAUGCAGAGACAGCGAGCACUAAUAUAAAUGUGUUCAGUCCCAGUUGUACGUUGAUGCUAAUGAUCGAAUAAGACAAACCGGGUUGCAAUUUUCUUGUAGGAAUGUAAUGGAAUUCCAUUGUUCAUAACAGCUUUAAUUUCUUUCUUUCCUCUUCAUUUUAUUACUCUCUCCUAGUAAAAUUCUCUCUAAUAUAUAGUACAAACUACCGACCGUCUCUAGAGCAAGUGGCAAAGGGCUUGGUGGUUGGUUGGUAUUCGAGACCCAAGUUCGAAUCCUAGUUGAUUCACAUUUCUAGCUAAGUUUAUUUCUAAAUGAAAUAAACGAACCGGGCAGCGUGCUACUUAUCUCUCAAAAAAAAAAAAUAUAGUACAAACUAUAUAUAUAGUACUAUUAGUAUUAGAUUUAGGCCCGCCUUAGUAAUGUGUCGGCUAAAAUUACUAUAUAUUUUUACAUACUCUGAAAGUCUCUGAAUAUCUAAGAGUACUUUUAAUCUUUUUUUCUUACGUGGCUAUAUGUUUCUUCUGUGAUGGUUACAACUGCAAUUUUCUAGUAUCGGAGAAGGGAGAAUUAUAAGUACAUUUAAAUUUUUGGGGCUGCAUUUAAUUAGUUACCAUAUUACCAAACUAGCUCUUACUUCAUAUUACCAAACUAGCACUUGGCAAAAAUAGCUAACUAAUAAUGGAUUUCAAACGUAAAUACCAUAUGUUCGGUUUAUCACAAAAAUUGUUUGCAUGUGCUUUUGUACUCAUGCAUUAUGGUAUUCGGAAGAUAUAUAACUUUGAUAAUUUAGCUCAAGUUUCUUAUUAGCGUAAGCAUAUUAAUACAGGGCAUAUAUAGAGAAGAUCAAUGUUCGAGUUCGACUACAUUUCUUGUUACCAUCAUAUUGAAGAGCAGAUUUAAAGGGGCCCGAAUAAUUGAAAUUGAAUAUAAUGAGGAUCUCCGCAUUCAAGUUUUUAUUUAGAUAAGCAAACUAAUUAAUUAAUACAUGGUAGAAAAGAUUUUGCAGUUUAAUUGGCUACAUUUCAUGUUUAGUUUCAAGGUCAUUAUUUCCAUCGUUUUAUUUCUUGAAUAAUUAAAGAUGAACAUAACAAUACAAUAAAAGAACUAAAAAUGGGCAAAAGAGAGAGACUUAUUAAGACACAUUCUGUUUCUUUUUGCUGUCAAAUCUAGCUCAUCUAUACACUUCUACUUUUUACAACAAAAAACCAAAGAGACCUACAGUUUUCAGAGUAUAUAUAUAUGUGUGAAUCAGUAAAAAAUUCUUAUAAUAAAAGUGUAGACACAUCAACAAUAUAAAGACAAUAUUUUCUUAACAAAUAAAAGCCACACCACAUCAAUAUUGAAACAAAAGAACCAGUAAUAAUUGUUAACAUUUGGUAAGAUCAUGAAAUGGCAACUACAGGUAGAAACGCUAAUCAGUAGACAAGUACUAGCCACCACCCACUGUGCAUGUCUUCUCUGAAUGACCCCCACAAUGUGCACCAGGAGACUCACCCAAUCACAUCUUAGUUAUAUAGCACCUCCAUGAUUUCCCAUUCCUUUGAAAUUAAUAUACAGCUGCGUACGUAUAGUUCAUACCCCAUAUAUGAUGUAUAGAAGAAGAAUACAUACAAACCAUUGCCUAUAUAUGGAGGAAUACUAAGUAUGAUAUAUAUAUAUAUAUAUAUAUAAAAGAGGAGGGAUAAUAAAUACUACAAAGUAGCUACUUUGGCUAUGGAGGGAAGUGAUCAAGGAGUCGGUGUUCCGAGUUUCUAUGUGCUCGAAGUUAAUCCUCCUCCGCUUCCGACCCAGAUGCAGGAAGUGGAGUUCCCCCAACCAGUAGAGCAUGUUCCGACGCACGGCGGUCGUGCAAAUCCGUCGCCGAUUUCCGGUUAUUCUUUUCAGAACUCCGCCGACUUCAGUAUAAGUGAGAAGCCCCAAGAGGUAUGGUGUUACUAUGAGUUUCAAAAUUGUAAAGAAGUUGCACCUCUUUAAUUUGUAUAAAUAUGUAAUGAUUGUACAGGUGGGAACAUCUUUAGAACCAAAAGAUGGGAAUGAUCAGAUAAUUAGCUCCAGUAAGGAUGGUGCUAAUUCAUGGUGGGCAUAUAAUUUAUCUUUUCCUUUCAUCUAUCUUAAUUCCGGCCAUUGUACUACAUGUAUAUAUAAGGUUUUAUUUUUGUUGAAGCAGGUGGAAGAGGUCGGCGACGACGGAGAAGAGCAAGAUGAAGGUGAGGAGGAAGAUGAGGGAGCCAAGGUUUUGCUUCCAAACUAGAAGUGAUGUUGAUGUGUUAGAUGAUGGAUACAAGUGGAGGAAAUAUGGGCAAAAGGUUGUCAAGAAUAGCCUACAUCCAAGGUAUAGUAAUUAAACAACUGCUAAUCAAGUUCCUGCAUGUUUUCCUUUUUCUUCUUAAUUUUCCUGAGGAGAAUUAAUUAAAAAAAAAAAAAGAAGCAAAGGAAGAAGAAGAAUGUUGUCACUUCUUCAAAUUAAUCAUAUUCUGAUACACACAAUUAGUUUUAUACAUAUUGUUUUUCCUCAUGACUUAUUCACAAGUGAAGAGGCCUGUUUAGAAAAAAAAAAAAAACGAAAAAUUGGGUGGAGAAAUGCAUGCAUGAGUAUUUAGGUCUGCAUAUGUUAGAUGGUGUACAAUGAAAAAAGAAAAAAGAAAGAAAGUGACAAGCUUGUGAAUAUAUAUUUACACAUAAAGAGGAAUUGGAGACAUGCAUUAAUUAGCUUAGGAAGUUAAACAAAAUUCAAGACUCAGUACAAUCACUCAUACCAAUCGAUCUCAUAAAGGAAAAAUGGUCAAGGAGCUGCAUUGUCAUGACUAGCUAAGCAUGAUUUUUCACUACCCUUUAGCUUCUUAGCAGUCCAUGGUUAAUUUGAUACCACUGCAUGAAAUGUGUCUACAAAAUGAAGGAAUUUAGUUUUUCAAUUGUAUGAGAAAAUAUGAGUUCACAUUAGUAAUUAGAGAGAUACUAGGUCUACAACCUAUUUUGGAUUGUAAUCUUUUUUUUUUUUUUUUUUUUUUUUUUUUUUUUUUUUUUUUUUUAGAGAUAGGUAGCACGCUACCCGCUUCGUUUUUUCCAACUCUUUUAAUCCAAAUAAGCUGCAUUAUAUAUGGCAGUUCUUAUCUCUUAUUGUACAUAAAUAAAUGGGCAUAUUUUAAGAUUAUUAUAAUUGCAUAAAAAUGUAUAACAUGUGAUUAUAACAUGAUGCAGUAAAUUAAAAUAAGCUUUUUAUCAAGUUUCGCUAUGGUUAGUUUCUUUUCAACUAAUAAGAGAGUACAUUUCAUAGAGUAAUAUAUGAUUAUUUCUUCACUUCAUAUUAUUUAUUUUUUUGACAGAAGUUAUUAUCGCUGCACCCACACUAAUUGCCGUGUGAAGAAAAGAGUCGAACGAUUAUCAGAGGAUUGUCGUAUGGUUAUCACGACGUAUGAGGGAAGACACACACAUUCUCCAUGCGACGACACGAACUCAUCUGAGCACAACUGUUUUAGCUCAUUUUGACCACUUAAUAUGGAUUGUAUUGAUCGUGUGCAGUGUUGCGAAAUCUAUAGGACAAAUUAAAUAAAUGUGCUAUUUAUAAGGUUUAUCAAAGAGAACUAUAUUAAUUUGGAAAAUUUAGAUGAGAGGAUGUGUGCUUUAGUAUUUCCAUUUACUCUUUUUCCUGCUCUAUGACUCCUAUGUAAUUAAAUAUAUAGCAGGUCACUUUUCGUCGGUUGAAUUUGUAAGAAAAAUAUGUCUCAAUAUUUUUUUAUUUUUGUACUGGUUCACAGUAUUCAAACAAUAUAUACUCAUGCUAUAAUUCUGUACGUAUGCUAAAUAUAGCAUUCCAUGAUCCUCCUCGAUGAAAUUAACACAAGUUUUAUUAUGUAUUAGAAGAUUCAAACAACUGGUUCAUGCAUGCUACCAAAUUGGUGCUAAUUAUUAUGACUGUUUUAAUUAACUAAUUAUUUUGUUGAGUAAUAUAUGUCAUAUUCUUUAACGUUUACUUAAUGCAUGUGAUUCACUGUAAAAGUUGUCAAAGAUGUAAAAUUCGGAAAUGCAAAAUGGUGAAGCCAUGAAGAGACAGUUUUGCUUCAAAUAAGUGCUUAGUUUUUCAUAAUUAAGAGCAUUAACAUGCAGUACAUUAUAUAUGUAUUGUUCUAUUUUCUUCUAACGUACAUUCAACAAAUUAAUAAGCGGUAAAAAUAUUUGCUAUACGUGUUGUAUAUCUAUGUAUACUUUUGCUAAUUUGCUAUAACCAGUAGUAUAUAUUUUACAUGUAGAGCAUCACCAUAUAUACGUAGUGGUGCACUCGAACGCGCGCACCAUUGAAGAAGAAGAAGGAGAAGAAGAAGAAGAGAAAAAAAGAAAAGUUAAUCCAAAGAACAAAUUACCAUGCAAACUUUGGGACAAUCACAUGUCAAUUAUAGUUUUAAAAAUUUUAUUAAAAUUUUAAUCGAGUAAUUAAGCAAAAUUAUUAACUUAUUUGUAUGGAGAACAUUUCGAUUUUUUUAACUUUGAAUAAUGACGUGUAAAAGUUGGAGGUGCUCCAUUUUCUGUUUUUGAGUGUAAAUUUUAUAUUUUACCCAUCAAAGAUUCUUGUAUACUAAACUUAUCAGUUUAUUUUUUUAUUACUUAACUUUUAAAUGAAUGGCAGUAAGAUUUACGUCCUGUUUUUGAUUCAGGUGAAGUCGGUGGAGAAUCACAUCGUUUGGCGACUUUUGGUCCCAAAGUCGGCGCCGAAGCGCCUCGAAUAGCAGUAUUCGUGUAACAGUGUGACUCGCACGUCGGUCCCACAUAUCAAUCCGCGCGCCAUUAUUAUUAUAUAGUUAUUUAUUUAUUUAUGUCCCAUGCUUUUGUGGGUUCCUUCACUGUUCUUUCUUUUCUCUCCUCUGCGAUCCGUUCGUGUUAAUUUCCGUUUCAUCGUCUAGGGUUUUGGUCGUACUUGGGAUCUUUCGAUGGUCGGAUCGAAGCGAAUAUCAACGCCGAGGCACGCCUCUUUCCUCUUCUCUUUCUUUUUUGCUUUCUAAACCCUAAUUGGAAUUGGGAUGUUGAUUGGAGCGAUGCAAUUGUUUAAAUUUUUUUACGAUGCGUUAGCGUUUGGUCAUCAAAGAAUGCGAGAAGAUCACGUCGGAAUUGCCGAAGGAAACCCUAAUAAAAUUUGUUCUAACCAUGCUCUUAAUCUGUUCCGUCGCUCUUUUACUAAAUUAUUUUUCCAUGUUUACCUACGAUUUUAAGUUUUUGAGCAAACAAAUGUGAUUCAUGUAGAGCUUAUGCACUGCAUAUGCAUCUUAAAUCAUGUGUAGAGCACAGAUAAAUCACAACCAUGGUGAAUUGGAAAACAUUUUAUUACAUCUCUGCUUUAAUACAAACAUUAGGAACGCGACUAUCAAUUCCGUGACUGAUUUUGUAUUGCAGGGAAGCUAUCAAUAACGAAGUACUCUGUUCAUAUUGUAUGAUCUAGUAGUUCUUUGCAUUCUAAAGUUUAUCAAAUAAAUAGAAGAUUAUGCGAGAAGAUUAUGGCAUUUUAGUCACUUAUCUUGGGAACCAAAGCGAAGUACGUAAAAUGCUGCCGCACCGAGAACUUGUUAUGAUGCCUUGAUAUUUAUUAUAUCAUUGAGGAACUGAUUACUUCUGUUUGAUUAUGGUUGUGUUGUGCUACAGUGGUUCUAAUUUGGUUUUUGCAAUAUUUUGAGGCUUGUAGAAGAAUGAUUUUUCUUGUGAUUUUAAAAGAAGGGACUGUUUGUUUUGGAAAAGAAUUUGUGGUUUUUGCAAUAUGUAAUGCUAGAUUGCAAGAUCUUAGGCUUUUCUAAUAUUCAUUAUUGCAGGGUAAUCUAACCACGACUUUCCUGUGUUCCGGUAUAAGGGUAUGUUAUUGUUUACAGUAGUUGUUCAUACUGAUAUGUCCUGCGAGUAUGUAACAUUCCUGACCAUGAGACCGUCACUUUGAAGUGAUAAUAUAUAGUGAUAGAGUCCCUUUGUUUUUACUCGGUGUCUAAAUAUAUUUGAUUCUUCGUUUAAUGACUUAUUUUCAGUAUACUCUUUUGUGUGUACUUCACAGAAGAAGGGAUUGCUGUUUCAGAACGUUGCAGUAGAAAUUUUGGUUAUCUGCUGAAGCAAGUUUGUGAUCUGGGCCAUGUUCAUGCAAACAAUGCAUUUUGUACAAAAACAAGAAUCUCCUAAAUCAGUUUUUGUUUGACAUAAAUGUGCCUUCUUCAUAUUAAUACAUUCCAGAGGACUCAGCUUAAGACUUGCAUUUGAAUGCGCCUUAUGGUUAAUGCUAUUUAUUUUGUAACCUUUGAGUAUUCUUUUGCUGUGGUAAUUACAGCCGUGCUUUUGAUACAAAGUUCAUUGGUAUCUCCCUUGCAUACUCCCUAUCAACCAACUAUCACAUGCCCAUUUAGUAAACAAAAGAGGGGCUGAACAGUAUCCAUGCAUCCAAACAGCUCCUAAAUGUGAUUCCAAAUGGUGAGCUAAGUUAACGAGAUUAUUUUUUAUAUUAGAAAAGAACGAAGCUACUGUAAGGCAUCAACAGUAGCCCAUACCUGCAUCAAUCAAUUUACACUUUUGGUGUUACUCAGGGCUAUCUUCUUUGAUGUAAUAGAUUUUAUAUCUAUCGAUUUAUUACCUGUAAUUUUUCAAUUUUGUGUAUCAAUUUCGCACAGAUCAAUGUACAAGAUAGUUUCUGUUUUUAGGGAAAGAAGCAAAUAUAUAUUCAAAAAGGAAAAAGAUUCAUCACUAGGAUCAUUUUACAUAUAUUGCCUUUUCUUUGUUAUCACAAGGUCUUUAGCCUCUAUGGAUGUUUUAUUCCUUCCAGCAUUAGCUUACCUACUAUGCCUUCAUUUGUUUGUUCUUAUUCCUCGGGAGUUCAUUUUCCCUACCCAUCUGCCGUAAACUAUCAGUCUUAAAAUCUAGGAGCUAAUCACAUAUGUUUGCUUUUUGCUUUUAAAAAACACUUAAGAAGGACAGUGAAUUAAUUCUCUACUGCCCUUGUCCUUCUGGUGGUUAAGAUGUCAUUUUCUGCAUUUGCUAUCUCUCUGCAGUUACAUAUAUCAACUCAAAAGCUCUGGUUUAUUUAUUUCUUCCUUAUGUGAUAUUGCGAAUGGGAAAUUAGCCGGUGGCCCUCUUGCCCUGCCCCUAUUUUUACAUAUAGAAAAUUCUAGGGCAACUUGAUUUGUGAAUGCUUUUAGAAAUUGUAUUCUUUUGCGUGUUUGGCAUGUAGGAGUCCAUUGAAUAGCAGAGAGGAGAGAGAAGGCAUGUGAUGCAUAUGAUAGUUGGCACUACUUUUGACUAGAGAAAUAAAGUAUCAACUUGUGGUUUAUUUAUUGCAUGUGCUUUAAAGAUCGAAAUUAACAAAAUGGAAUUAGAUAUAACUUAUCUGCACUAUUCUUCUUUUUUUUUUUUUUUUAAGAGGAUAGUACCAUUAAUGUUAAGCUGCUGAUUCUGAAGUAACCACACUGUUUUUUUUGGGUAACUUAAGAGUGGAGCACUAAAAAUCUUCUAGUUAUACAUUCGGAGAUUGGAUGAUAGCCGUGGUGGUGAAAACUAUUGUUUGAUAGAACUUCUCAUCAGAUUACAAUUAAUAACUUUUUAGGCAUAUUUCAUUGUUCAUUGCAUGCUUUGUUGGUUUGGUAAAUUUAUGUCUAAUUCAUUAUAUUCUUGAAUGGUUUGUCCUAGUUCCUGUCUUCUCAUAUGCUUCCUGAGCCACAUCAGAGUAGGGUAUAUUGCCCAGUCAUCUUGGGCCUAAAAGUCGAACAAUAACAUGGCUUUUUGUUGUUAGCUUUUUGUACCUUUGAGUGCAUUGCUUGUCCAUUACCGUAGUAGAGGAACAGGUUGGGCUCCCCUUCUAUUUUUUUCUCAAAAGGAAAAACAAAAGAAAAAGAAUAAGGGAAGUUGAAGAAAAGCUUCUUUAGUUUUCAGGGGAGCUGAUCCUGAGCUUAUGGAGUGAUUCCGUAUAUACGAGACGAGCUAUGCUAUUCUUUUUUUUUCUUUUUGAAAGAGAAAAAAAUAGCAUACUAUCCGCUUUGUUUAUUUAUUUGAAAAAUAAAUUUAGUUGGAAAUGUAAAUCAACUAGAAUUUAAACUUUGGACUUUGGAUAUCAACCACCGUGUCUUUUACCACUUGUGUUAGGGACAGUCGGUUGAACUACGUUAUUUUGAAAACGGUAAAAUAGUAGCGAAAAAGUUUGCGUUCUUAAGGGUGGAUGAAUUAUACUUUUUCAUUAUUUUAGACCAUUGUUUUGUGAAUAUUAAAAUCUGCUGUGGCAAUAUCUCUACUGAAUAAGUUAUUUUUUUCUUCUUUUUUUUUUGUUUUAAUAGACAGAAACUUAUGUCAACAGGAGAGAUAAAGAGGCUCACCGGACGAAAAGGACGCAGGAGACAUGAAGUUCAGUGUGAGCGGUUAGCGAGACUAUUUAUGAGUAGUCAUUGUUCUUGAAUGAACUGCUGUAGACCGGCAAUUCCAUUAGCGAAAAAUCAGCUUGAAGCCAAACCAUCUUAACUAAAGUGUAAGUUAAAGUGUUUCAUUUUGGAGUUAUAAGGCGCCAGGUUUGAAAUUUUAGGGCAUCGGAGGCUACUAUUAAUUGUAUCAAAAAAAAAGAAAUGUCAUCUGUGAUGUCAGAAUUGGUUAAAUCUUUUCGCCAGAAAAAAAAUGUCUUAAAUGUUUUUAUUUCUUAUGCUCGAAUGCUUUAAGCUUUCAAAUUGAGCUAGAUCAUGAAUUAUAUAUGACCGUCGGAUGUUUUUUUUUUUUUUGAAAAAUAGAUAGCAUGCUACCCGCUUUGUUUAUUUCAUUUAGAAAUAAAUUUAGUUGAAAAUGUAAAUCAAUUAGGAUUCGAACUUGAAACGUCGGGUACCAAUCAUCAAACUCUUUGCCACUUGGGACGUCAUUUAUACGACCGUCGGAUUUUGUGGUAAAGUAAGGUUGUAAUCUUAGGACAAUUUAUAAUCAAAACUAGAGCACGAACUAUUGUUACGUAAUCUUGGUUGAAAUUUUCUUUUUUUAUCUCGCUGUAUAUGGCGGAAAUUUAUUCACAGGUGCAAGUGUAAGUACAAGGCUUAUUUUUUAUCAUAAUGGCUAACAUAUGAUGUUCCAUUUUCUCUAGUGCAAUGCUUUAUUAUUAAAAGAAAUAUGUGGUGGCUCCGCUCCAGUAAAAAUAACAAGAAUACUUUCUAUUUUUAUUAUUAGACUAAUUUGUUGAUACCUUUGACUCUGGGUUUGCAUUCAAAUUGCGCUUUGAGCAUAAAUACGUCUGCGCACGGUGCCUAAAAAGAGAAAUGGUGAGAAAAAUUAAGUAUAAGAAACUGAAAAGUAAUACAUAUAUCAUUGUAAACAAAUUAAAAACAAUUCAUAUCCACUCUAUUAUGGGCUCCAAUUCCAAAUGCGAUUAAUAAUAAUAGUCAGCUAAUGCAGGUCACGGUCAAACCCCACGAUUUUGAAACUUUUAGUUGGCCAUAGCUCUCUCUCUCACUCACACUCUCUCUCUCUCUCUCUCUCUCUCUCUCUCUCUCUCUCUGUGGGCCCACAGAAAAAGUAAAGGUGAAGGGGAGGUUGGGAGAAGGGUAUUAAUUUUAACUCGUCAGGGUACUUGCAUGUUACGACCGAUUGAUUCUAAAAAAUAAAUAAAUAAAAUUAAAAAAUAUUUUAAAAAAUAAAAUAUAAAUUUUAAAAAAAAUUGAACAAGAAGCAGGGUUAUAAGAAUACAAAUAUAAAAAAAUAAUAAAUUAUAUCUAUAACAGCAGUAAGAGUUUGAAAAUUAAAAUAUCAUAUACAUCAUAAUUUAAGCCAAAAAUUAUAACUAAUUAAAGUUUGAGGGCUAAGGUAUAUCGUGCCUUGUAGUUUGAGUAAUAAAUUAUAAUGCAUGAAAGUUCGAGGACUAAAGUUGCACACAUCUUAUAGUUUGAGGACCAAAAACGUAAUUUAUUUUUUUUAUAUUUUAUUCUUAUUCCAAACGAAGUCAAAGUUGAGCAUUGAUGAUUUUGUUAAAUUAGUAAUUUCAUAUGUGGAAAAAAAAAUAUGUUAAGCUAUUAAAUAAAUUUUAGAAAGCAUAAUUGUUAAAAUUAAAAGUCGACCAAUAAUAUUUUGCAUAUUUCAAAAAAUUUUAAAUGUGAAAUUGAUCGCUCAUCAAACUAUAAAUAUAAUAUUAAAGUUUGAUAUUAAAAUCAAUAUAAAAUUAUAUAAAAUAUUUGAGCAUUGAUCGGUUUUGUUCAAUUAAUAAUUUCAUAUGAGGAAAAAAUAUGUUAAACAAUCGAAUAAAUUUUAGAAUACCUAAUUGUUAAAAUUAAAAGUCGACCAAUCAUAUUUUGGAUAUUCUAAAAAAUUUUAAAUGUGAAAUUAAAAUAUAUAAAACNUAAAAUCAAUAUAAAAUUAUAUAAAAUAUUUGAGCAUUGAUCGGUUUUGUUCAAUUAAUAAUUUCAUAUGAGGAAAAAAUAUGUUAAACUAUCGAAUAAAUUUUAGAAUACCUAAUUGUUAAAAUUAAAAGUCCACCAAUCAUAUUUUGGAUAAUCUAAAAAAUUUUAAAUUUGAAAUUAAAAUAUAUAAAACAUUUUGAAUAUAAAUAUGAUAUAUAAAACUAUAAAUAUGAUAUUGAAGUUUAAUACUAAAACUAUAGUAAAAAUAUAUAAAACAUUUCUGAACUACGAACUAUUUUGAAUUAGCUAUCCAAUCUUCCAAAAUUUUAUUUUUACUAUCUAGUUUUUAAUAUGUUGGAUGCGAACCAGUGGAUAAUACUUUGACUUCGAAAUUUGAAUGUGCAGCUUAGCUUUUCAUAUUUAGCUAAUAUAUUUCAUACAAUUUUCGCAACUAAAUUUAUUAAAAUAAAUAAUGAGCUUAAACUCUACUAAUCUUUUUUUUAUUUUGCUGUAUAAUUUAUAUUUAAGCGAUCAAUAUUAUAGGAUUAAAUUAUAUUUAAUGUAUACACUCGAAACUAUUUCAAAAUUAUGCAUAAAAAUUAUAUAUUUUAAAUUUUUAUAAUAAAAAAAUAGAGUGAAUUAAAAAAUAAAAAAAUCCAAACCCUCCUCUCCAUGUCGAGAUCGAGAGAGAGAGAGAAUUUAGAUGAAAAAAAAAAACUGGCCCACCCUACCCCACCAGGCUGGGACCCACUAGGCCCCACCGUAACCACCUUCUUUUAGUGCCACGUGGAUUGAAACUAAGGUUUCAUGAUUUUAAUUAAUAAUUAAUAAUUAAUAAUAUAGAAUAUAAAUAUAGAUAUAAAUAUAUAAAUAGAUAGAUUUGCACCUCGAAUUAAAGAUUUAAUAAUGUUUCCUUAAAAUCAGGUAACUUUGUCCGGAAACAAUUUAUCUUCUAUUCCUUGCAAGGUAGGAUUCAUUCAUUAAAACAACAAUUUGGCGAUUUAAUUUGCAGUGCUAGUCUCUGAACUUUCUGUGAAGUUCUAUUUUGGUCGUCAAACUUUAACUUUUGAGAUUGGAGAGUCAAACUUUUUAAAUCUAUCAGUUUUAUUAUUUAUCUCAUACAUUUAAUGUGAUAAUUUAGUUUUUUGAAUGUAAGAAAAAUUGCAACUUAUUUAGUGUACAUGCACGUAGCAAGAUCGAAACAUAAAAUAAGAGAACAAAAUUUAUUUAAUAAAUUUAUAGUAAGUAAAUAUAAUGAGUAUAAUGAGGCAUUAGGCGUCACAAAGAUUACAACAAAAUAUUUUCAAAAGUUUAAGAUUUCAAAUGUGAACAAGGCCGUAAACUUGGUCAAAAUUAAGUUGAGAUAAUGGAACGUGGAUGGCUCAAAAUACUUUUGAUUUAAUUAAUGGAAGUAAUUAACCACCAUAUUAGUUGCGGUAUUCACUCCUCAAUUUUCAAACUUAAACGAAUUUAGUUAUAUAUCUUGUUAGUUUAAUUUGAUUUGUUAUAAUAAUAAGGGAAAACUUCAAAAACCCCCUCUGUGGUUUCGUAGUUUCUCACUUUGGCCCCCCGUGGUUUAAAAUGUAUCAAUAUGCCCCCCCUGUGGUUUCUUUUUUCUCUUUUUCAUAUCAAUUUUAUUUUUUUUUUUUCCUUGUGAUAAAGUUAAAAUUAAAGGAUACUAAAGUGAAUAUUUGAUAAAUCUAUAUGGGUAUCGGAAGUUUUUUGUAUAUAAUUUAAUGAAAUAUUAACGAAAAAGCUAUCGAAAAGAUAAAAACAAAACCACAGGGGGGCAAUUUGAUACAUUUUAAACCACAGGGGGGCAAAGUGAGAAACUAUGAAACCACAGGGGGGUUUUUUAAAGUUUUCCCUAAUAAUAAUAAUAGUAAUAAUAAUUGAAUCUACAGCGCGCGUACGUACAAAGCGCGCCUGCGCGACGUCGCACGUGCAUGGCGUGAGAGCUCGUACGUGGUUCCACGUGUGUGCACAUGCACGUGUGCAUUCGUGGAUGCUCUCGUGUACACGUGUCAACAUGAAAAUAGUAAUGCACGUACAUAGUUAAAGCAGUUUCUCUACUUCUCCCUCUCCAAAGCCCUCUCGCAACACACACAUUUUUUUUUUAAAAAAAGAAAAACUACUAAUGCUACUUUUUUAUUUGUGUAAAUAGAGCAAUUAAUUAAUAGGUCAAAAAAAAUUUAAAAUUUCAAAAUUUUGGAGUUAGGUAAUAGUAAGCAAUCAUUUGCAAUGGUGUACUGGUUUAUUAGGGUUUUUUAGUAUUUUUUCAAAGAGUGUUGUUUUUAUUGGUUAAGUGUCGUCACGAUAUUUUUUUUUUAUUAUUAAGGGGAAAAAAAAGUGCUUAUAGGUUACAAGUUACAACGAAAUCGUUCUAUGUGGCAUGGCGUGGUGCAAAAACGCAAAUGGGUUCCUCCUUAAUUAUAAUCUUAACUUUAAUUAAUUAACCAAAUGUGGAGACAACAAAGCAGUAGUUACAACUUUUGGAUGAGUCUCUCUCUCUCUCUCUAUCUCUUUGUGUGUCAUGAGUUCUACAAGGUUUAUGAUCAUUACAUUAGGACAAAAAAUAAUUAAGGUGGAAUUCGACACUUAUAAAUGGAAGCUUAGAUACUGUUUCUUCGAAAAAGAAAGAGUCUUAAAUGCAAAACUCCAUUUAUCAUCUUAAUAAGUGCUCAAUUAUUUUAAUUCGAAUUUUGUAUUUUGUUACUAUUUCAAACUGACUAAAAAAAUUAGGGAAAACUUCAAAAACCCCCCCUGUGGUUUCGUGCAUUCUCACUUUGCUACCCUGUGGUUUAAAANUUAUAAAUGGAAGCUUAGAUACUGUUUCUUUGAAAAAGAAAGAGUCUUAAAUGCAAAACUCCAUUUAUCAUCUUAAUAAGUACUCAAUUAUUUUAAUUCGAAUUUUGUAUUUUGUUACUAUUUCACACUGACUAAAAAAAUUAUAACAAUUUGAAUUUGGACGUAAACGUUUAUCGAAAAGAGUAAGUAUAUAGAAUCGGUUCUAAAUUAUAGAAUACAUAGUAAAUCUAUGGAUUACAUAGUGAAUCUAAAAUUAAAUAAUAUAUGUUCUUAUAUAACAGCUUACAAUUAGAUAAUUUGUUUGAUUUCAUAUAAUUACCCUCGGUUAAUAUGACCAAAAUCAAUGUUUGCUAGUUUAUUUACAUGAAAAAUUCGCGUCUAAAUGUAACAAUCAUCCUGAAAUUUUAGCUCCCUAUAAGAUGCAUUGGAGGUAAAAAUUGCAAAUUUUAAAUUAAUACAAUUUUCAUAAAGUGAAGUAAACACGGGAAUGAACGAAGCAGAUAUAUACAUAGCAUACUACUUUUCUCUCUCAAAAUAAUAAUAAUAAUAAUAAUUAGGGUAUGUGCUAAGUUCCAAGAUACAUUAUAUAGCUUGUGCCAAAGAAAAUUGCAAACUUAGUUGGAAUUUAUGGUAACCUAGUAAUUACAUGCCAUGGGGUUAGCCACUUAGCUCCAAAAUGAGCUUAGCUAGGUCGGGGUGAUUUUGGCCAACAUUAGAAGCUUCCUAUCAUAGUCUAAGAAUAUUAAUUAGAUUAAUUUACUGAAAAUCAACAAAAUAUUAAACUCAAAUAGCUUCCUAUAACAAGAAGAGAGAAUUUAUUUGCUUCAAUUCAAAAUAUCAUUAUUCUCUUCCAACAAAUUUUAAGGAAGGAAUGUAUUAAUUGCUCACAUAAUCUCAUUUUGGGAAGGUUCAAUUGAUAUAGUUUGUUUUUUUUAGUUAAUUGACUAAAUAUUGUUACAAAAAGAUGAGACAGAUGUAAUUUCAGAGAGAAUAUAUAGAUUCUUACUUCUAAGUCGACAUAUCUAUGCACAUUUUCAAGAAAAAAAAUGUAUGUGUUUCAAUAGUUUGGGUCAACGCUUAUUGAGACAAAAAUCAAUGGCUCACUAUUUAACAAAGGGUUUAAAUUGUGACAUGACCCAAAUUGCAGCUAAGGAUAUGCAUAAUUAAUUUUAUAUAUAAGUUGUUUCAACAAAGAACUAUACUUUAGGAUAUCCAUAAAUUUAAUUAAAAAUCUUUUUAAUCUUGCUCCUACCAUUGGUUGAGAAAAUAUGGGCAAAUUGAUCCCUUUCUAUAUAACUUGAUUAUGUUCCUAAUAUUGUGUAUAUAUAUAUUUUGUUAUGGGACCCGGGUCCAAAGUAGAAACCAAAAUGUAACGCAUUCAAAUAUCCAGGAUUUAUACAAAUAUUAAACACAAGAUUUUAAUUUAAUUCUACAAUAUGGCAUGAAAGAAGAAAUAUAAGUCUAAUUAAAACUCCCAAGUACUUAAAUCAAAUAUAGUGCAAAAUUAGUUAGCAAAGUUAAAUAUUCAAACAUUGUGUAUCAUUAGCAAGAAAUACUUUUAGUAUAUUUUUGUUACACUCUGAGAUUUGGUAUAGUUACAUGGGAGUAGGAUAUGGUAACCUCCCAUUGAGGUGGUGAAUUUUCUUUUGUACAAAAAAAAUCACUAAAAAUACAAAAAGAACAAUUAAAAGUAAAUUAAUUUAAUUAAAAAUGGGUUUGCUAAUUAACACCAGUUAUUUUUACUAAUCAGCCCCAAAACCCCCUACAAGUCAUGCACUUAAUUACAUACAUACAAAACCAAAAGCCUUUCCCCUACCCAUUCAUGUUUCACACUUUCACCCCCUCUCCUUUUCCAUCACCAUUUAUUUUUUAAUUUGAUUUCCCAAUGGUCUCCUCCUUUUCUUAGGAUUAUUGUGUAGAUUCCCACCUUAGGAAUUUUUUUAAAAAAAAAACAAACAAAAAAAAUUAAAAAACAAACAAAAAAAAGAAGAAGAAAAGGCACCAUUUCACCCUUGUAAAUUUUUUGGUGCAUAUUUUUAUUAUAAUUUUUUCCAAUUUAUUUCUACACCCCUUUUCCUCUCUCCCUUUCCCUUUUUUCCUUCCUCCCUCCUCUCCCAAUUUGGACCUACCAAAACCUCAAAUUUAGUUUUUGUUUUCAUUUGCUUCCUCUAAAUCCCUCCUGGGUUUUGUUUUGUUGCAGAAGCAGCUUUGCUGUGCCCAGUUUUAUAGGUUUAUUGGGCUCCAAGGAUUUAUUUACAGAGAACUGUUCCUAAUUUUGUUAAGAGAUACUGCUAUAAAAAAAGUGAUUUUUAUCCAUAUGUUUUUUGGCUAUGUUUUUUCUUUCUGAGAAUUUUGGAAGGGGGAAAGAGAGAAAGGGCAACAAGGAAAUGGGGAAACAAGGGCCUUGCCGCCACUGCGGCAUCACAAGUGAGCUCUUCUUCAUGUUUUUGAUGAAUACUUUUCAUUUUAUCAGGAUCCUCUCUAUGUUUAUUUCCAUUUUUUUCUCUUUUUUUUUUUUUUGGGUCCUCCAUUUUGACUAGUGUUAUUGUUUUUAAGGAACUAUUAAAUUGUUCUAGAUGAUUAUUCCACUUCUUAUAGAUAUCACUUUCCCUUCUUCCUCAUUUUAGAUGUUUGUGGUUGUGUUUGUGUUGCAAAUCAAAUAUUGAACCCAUUUGAUUUUGCAGCCUUGCAGGUUCCCGUAAUAAAUUUCCUGUUUACUGGAUUUCCAUGUUGUUGCUGCACAUGAAUUUUUAUUGGAUUUCUCUUCUCCGAGUUUGACGGUCGAGAACUAAAUUCGUUUGUCGAUUAUUUGAAGUUUUGAAGUCCAAAUUCCACUUAGUAUGAAGUUUUUUUGAUGCAUAAAGAUCUUUCCAAUUUCGAAUUCCCACGUUUCUUCAUUGAAGCAUUUGUCCAACAGUGGAUAGGAUCAACUCACUUGUCAGAGAGAAAAUUUUGCAAAUGUCAUGCAAUUAUGCGUGGCGACAAUUCUUCCUGUUUUGCCUGCCACGUUCUCAUUUAAAUACCUGCUUGUUUGGAGCGUCGUCAAUCUAUGCCUUAGCAUUGACCUCUUGUUGCCUCUAUACGACAAAUUUGCGUAUUCCAUUAAUGUUCAUUAACUUGGUAUAGAUGAUUCAUGAAAAUAGUGGGAGAAUAACCUCUUUGAACUUAAGUUCAUAUGCGUAGCUCUUUUCAGCGGUGUCUUUUCGCAGAUUUAGGCUUGAGUGCUUGUCAAUUUAUUGAAUUGUUUUACAAUGCAGCACCCGGGAUUUGUUUUGUUUGAGUACUUGAUCUUUUUUUGCUGAAAUGAAAGAUAAAUCCCAUGACAGGUACUCCUCUUUGGCGGAAUGGGCCACCGGACAAGCCUGUUCUAUGCAAUGCAUGCGGUUCGAGGUGGAGAACAAAGGGCUCAUUGGCAAACUACACUCCCUUGCAUGCUCGUGAAGGCAUCAUCGAUUCUGAGGAGUUAAAGCUAACUAAAGUAAAAAGUGUAUCACUGAAGCCCAAAGAACCAAAAUUGCCCAAGAAAAAGCAGAGCUAUAGUGUGGUGGGAAAUGAGCGUGAAAUGCCAUUUUCCGAUCAGAAUUUCCAGAAAAAGAUUGUCGAGGGGGAUACAAGCAAUCGAUCUAGUUCUGGGUCGGCAAUUUCAUGUUCAGAGAGUUGCGCGCAAUUUCGGAUGGUUGAUGCAAGUGAUUUGGCAGGUUAAUAUCGUCGACCAAAUAACUAUCAUAUAACUUAGUAAAUAUCUGCCAUUUUAUUUGAUAUUUCCUUUUUCAGACUGUGAUGUAAUGAAUGGAUAUUUAGUAACCAUCCUUCAAUGACAUAAUGUGAAAGGAAAUAGUUUAUAAGCAUAAUAACUUCAGAAUCACAUUCUUGACGUGUGUCCUGUUUGAUGGCUGGAGCUUAUGUAGAUGUGCAAUUUUCUUUAUACAAGCAAGUCAAGAUUCAGCAUCCAUUGCAAUUUCUUAUUUCUCCGAAGUCCUAUCUAGCAAAUUUGUUAUUACCCUUUUUUCUCUACCUAUUGUGAGUGCGCAGGACAUCUAAGAUAAGUAGGUAACAAGAAAUUCUUGUUUUUUGGCUCUUGUAAAGACCAUUUUCACACUUUCAAUAAUCUAAAGCAAGUAUCUACUGACGACAUAGUGGAAGCCAGUUUAGUGCUUUUUUUUUUUCUUUUUUUUUUUUGAGAGAAUGAAGCCAGUUUAGUUUUGCAUGCUAAAGCGCUCUCUCUCUCUCUCUCUCUCUCUCUCUCUCUCUCUCUCUCUCUGUGCGUAUGUCUCUCUCUGCGUAUGUAUGUGUGCUGUAUUUUUCUCUUAUUGUAAUAGAAAUUUUUUCACAUUUAAAUUUUUCCUUUUAAACUUUCUACUUCAGGUUCAGCACAGUCAAAUGUAUGGGAUUCGAUAGUGCCAUCUAAAAAGAGGACAUAUGUUACUCGAGCUAAGCCUGCCAUUGAAAAGCUUACAAAGGAUUUGUACUCCAUAAUGCAUCAACAACCGUCAUCUGCUUUUUCGGUAUCCUCAGAAGAGGACUUGCUUUACAGUAGCGAAAGUCCAAUGGGUUCCUUUGAGAUGGGCUAUGGAAGUGUUCUUAUUAAGCACCUAAGUUCAAAAUCGCCAGAGGAGGAAUCAGAAGCAAGCUCAUUUCCUGUAGAUAAUAGAUCCACUGCUGGUGAGAUCUCUAUGAGACCCCCAUCCUAUAAUGUACAUAAUAAUAAUGACGGUGAAGAAAUAAAAGGAACAAGCAUUUCAGAUGCUGCAGCUGAUGGCAAGUAUAAAAAGUGUACAGAAAAAGCAGCUCAAGACGAUGCUGAAAGGUACUCGGACAUUUCAUGUUCACCAUAAAAAGAAGUACAUUAAUGCCUAUAUCUAAUCUUUCUCUCAGCUUUUGCUCGGCUCUAACUAGUAUGACUUAAAUAUCUUGUUCUGGUAGUUUUAUUCUUAUAUUAAUCGCAAGUGUAACCCCUGAAGUUCGAUCCUGAUUUGAACUGCAUCCUCAGUUUUUCACUUAGCGAUUUAGUUCCUGUAGUUUGUGUCCCAUAACAAUUAAAAUUUUCUGUUAGUCUGCUGGACGCCAGGUCAGUGUCAACACUAUAAUUGAAACCUCGACAAGACUAGUGGAAGGACUUAAUUAUAUGCUCGACAAACUUCAGGAACUAAAUUGUUAACAGAAUAAAAAGGUUAAGACUCUCAUCCUUUACAGGCAUAAACUCCAGAAUGAGAAGACAGCGAUACUGGGAGACCCCUAUUCGCCCUUGACGUCAAUUGUACUAGAGGUACUAAAAUAUUUAAUAUCCUUUUGAGGCCUUCAGCUUUUUCUGAAUUUAUAUUAGUUGCCACAACUGAGUGUGAACUAUUGUUUUUAAUUUUUGCCUAAGUACUCUCCUACGAUGCUUUUGGGGUAGCAAAUGCUGGAGAAUUUCUAGGGGUUCACUCAGUUUGUUUUUAGGGAUAUUUUGUAGCUGGAAUUUCUUGUUUUGAAGAUUCUUAAAAUCAACCAAAAGCAAACUACUAUAAAAACCAAAUUGAACCAAACAAAAGUUAUUUCAGUUUUGUUCAGUUCAACCAAUUGGUUUGAGUUUCUCCUCCGAAUUAUAUUUCGUCAGCAAUAACAAAAUUAAUCAUAAAAAAAUAUUUCAUUCAAAAAGGAUGUCUAUGAUCUCUCUAAAAAAAAAAGAAAAAAGGAUGUCUGUGAGCUAUCACUAUAAAUUAAUAUAUCCUUUUUGUAUGUAUUACAUCCAAAUAUGGUUAUUAUUGAGUAAUAUGUAAACACCGUGCAAGGAAUCACCAUGUGUUUUACAGCCAAAAAAAAAAACUAUAUGUUGGUUGUAUAGGUAUGUAUUGUGUGUAUGGUUGUUAUUCUGUUUUCGUUUCAGUUUGGUUGAGAAAGUUUCAGAAAAAAAACCAAAAAAAAGAAACUGAAUGCUGAAAUACAUAGAUUCUGGAAAAUCAAGCCAGGUCAAGAACCAAACAAACCAAGCUAAAUUGUUUUAUUUGGUUUGGUUUGGUUGAGUUUGGUUUUAUGUUUGGAGCCAAAUAGUGAACACUGAAAAUAUCUAAGAAGGUCGAACCUUGAAGAGGCUUAUUUUACGUAACACAACGGAGUCUAGAUGGGAGUUCUAUAAACAGCUGGUUUCUCCCUUAGGCAUGUAUUCAUCAAAGCUUAACGCAUUAUUUUAGGUGGAGUCUUUUUCUAGUAAUUGAACUUUUUUCUUUUUCAAAGCCUGAUACAUGGACUUAUUUACAUUAAAGUUUUUUUUUUAUUCUAUUUCUUUAGGAGAAGAAUUGUGCAGGAACUGGAGGAAAGAACGUGUUGAGCGCACCAAAAUUUUCUGCUAGCUCCAAUUUGGCAACCCAUAAGAGGCCUCGUGAUUGUGAAAAUCAAGCUUGUUCAGGUUUGAACUACCCACCCCAUCCCAACUAAGAAAAUGUUACUGGUUGUAGCAAUCAAAAUAUUGGGAGUUUAAGAAAGGAUGUGCUGUAGUGGUGAAUUUCUUUGGGUCUAGUAUGCAAAAUCAUAGCAAUUUGCUGUAUGUUAUCUGUGAUUCUUUUAUUUUGUGGAGUGAGGUGUAGGAUCGGGGCGCUUGAUAGUUACAUCAAGGAAAAGUUAUAGUAUGUCUGCUGAGGAAGCUAUGCAGCUGCAUCGGUUUCUGUUCUGCUAGAAGUUGGCUUUAUUCUUUUACUUUUUAUCUGAUAAAAUAAUCAUAAUUAUGAGGUGAAUUUGUUUACUCGGCCAUUCAAACGUUUUAUAUUUCAAGCGCAGCUUCUGGUGAUGAGUAAGUCAUAUAGAAAAAGGAAUUUUCUCAGAUUGUGCGUGUGCAAUUUAAUCAUUCUUUCGACUUGCUAAGCCGACUCAUUUCAUUUUCUGAACUGCAGAGAUAAAAUGCUCAACGAGAAGCCCUAAAAGAAGUCAUCAAUCUGGGUCCACAAAUCUUCCGUCAGAUUGUUCCUCGGAUCCAAACUGCAUUGUUGCAGCCUCGAAACUCAUCGAUGAUGCUGCUGAUUUUCUCGAAAGUCACGGGGCAUGCUUCAGUCCGAGGAGCAUUUUCUCGUCUCCUCUUUCAGAUAGGAGCUCAAUUCUGGUCGAUGACUUGCUGGUUGAUUUCCCGAGCAAUACAUCAUACCCAGAGGCACAGCUGCUCUACCCUUCUCUGGAGAAGAAACCAGUCUCAGAAAGCUCCCAACCAGAGACUGGAGUUACCAAUCGCGAGGGAAGUGACUCGAUCGAUCGUUCGUCGAGUUUCAGAAGCAUGCUGAGUAGGCUCCUAUAGAAGAACAGCAUUAGUCUCAUCAUUAGUGUUUCCUCUAUAAAAUUUUAACUUGGAAAAGAGGUGUUUCUAAUGAUGGGUGAUAAUAACUUGGCGAAUUUUAUGUUAGCGAGUACCGGUAUGUGUCGUUGGAUUGCAGGUUUCUGUAUUGUAUAGCUUUGGCAAGAGUUGUAAGAUAAAGGUAGGAUAAAGUGGUGGAGAUAAGAGUGUGUGUUUAUUCUCAUAAAGAUUCAGAGAUGCUGCAUCACCAUGCCAUGUGCCUUAAAAGAGUCCUUUUUCUAGUUUGAAGUGCUUUGGCCUUUCUAAAGGAGAUUCUAUCUGCCGCUGAUGUGAUGGCAAAUUAAUGCAAUACAGUUUGUGAGAAUUUCUUAAAUUUGACAACUAGUAAAUAAUUAGAUCGCUUUACAAUUGCAUGCUAUGACUAUGAGGUGAUGUGCGCAAUCUCGAAGAGAGAAUCUUUAAUGCGAAAAAAAUGGAAAAAAAAAAAAGAAAGGAAAGAAUGUGAGCUUUGCUUUGCCUAAAGUUAAAACCUAUGGUUGGUUGGAGAAUUUGAACAUCAGGAAUAAAGAUGUAUUAUCACUAAAAGGAGCAGAAAUGUAUUACCUUAUGGAAGCACUUAUACAGGACGAUUUUUUUUUUUUUUUUUUUUUUUUUUAGGAGAGAAAAUGAUAAUAUGCUAUCCGUUUUGUUUAAUUUUUUUUUAAGAAAUAAACUUAGUUGAAAAAUAUAAAUUAAUUAGGCUUCAAACUUGAGACUUUGAGUACCAACCAGCAAGCCCUUUUUAAUAUAAUGUUUUGUUAGAGUUACGGCACACCUAUUACAUACUAUCACAAAAGUAUAAAUCUACUGUAACUUACUAAAUUAUAAAUCCAGCUUGAAAUUGAUAUUUUUCCCUUCCUGAUUGGAUAUGCAUAAUAAGCCGCGACUCUGCACGACAAGGUGCUUAUGAGCCAGUUUGAUCCAAAACAACAAUCUAAAUUUUUAUCUAAAUAAUAGGAAAUUAAUUUAGAAAAUUAACAUUGGAAAAUUCAAAUAAAAUAUUAAAUUACAAUUUUGGAGAAAUUUUUUUAAACUGUAAACCCAGUCUGAUCUGGCGCGGUUGUGGCCGGGCCGAGAAGUUGUACUAACUAACUUUGCCCAGAUACACUAACACGUGGCGAUUUUUCAGUGGUCUACGAGGGUGGAUAAAGUGUUGCCUCGGCCAAGCGUACCAUGUAAUCCGUGGACCGGAUCUAGUUGUCCGCAUAUUUCCUAUCGUUUCCGGUCCACGGCUUUGGAAUCUCCGAAGCGAAAAAGAAGCGCACGAGUAGUUAAACCCUCCCAAACCCCCGCCCCCAAACAUAUACGACCCCGUCCGCUUCGUCCCAAAACCAUCCCGCGAUAAACCCUAGAAAUGCUCCUCCGAUCCCCUCCUCCCCCCACUCUCUCCUCCUUCCCCCCCUUCGCCUACUCCCGAAUCCCUUUAGGGUUUCGCUCCCCCGCGCUCUUCGCGAGGAAGGAGAAGGAGAGGAGGCUCUUCGUCCCCAUCCGAUGCGCGUCGAUAUCGCAGAUCCACAGCUACGGGACGGUGGAUUUCGAGCGGAGACCCGGGCUCAAAUGGAGCUCGCUCUACCGCCGCAUCGCGACGAUGGAGAACGAGGGCCUCCGAUCCGGCGCCGUGCUCGAUCGGUGGGAGGAGGAGGAGCAGCGCCUCUCCAAGUGGGAGCUCUGCCGCGUCGCCAAGGAGCUCCGCAAGUUCCGCCGCUUCAGGCUCGCCCUCGAGGUUGAACCCUCCCAACAUUUCGUUCUCCUCAUGUUGAAUAUUUUCUCUAAUUCCAUCAUCCUUUUCCAUUUAUUGUAGUGAUCUAUACGUUUGAUGAUUUUGAAUAAGAAUUAGAAAUGACGAUUGUUUAUUUUUAGUUGGUUCGUAACUAAGAAGAUUUAGGAGUAAAAUGCACAGAUACUCCCCAACCUUUCAUUGUGUUGCAAAAAGUUGAACAUUUUGCUUAGAACAAUUCUCUCGCAACUUUCUAAUAUUGUGCAAUUGCAUCCCUUGUGCGAAUUCUUGUCCCGUCCAUUUUUCCUAUACUGUUCAUGGAUUGCAAUUGUGAGAUAUAGAAAAGUUCAUUGACUAAAUUGUUCAGAUGAGGAUUUUGAAGAAAAGUAUGGACAUUAAACUGAACAGAUGAAGCAGACGAAAGCUCAGAAAAAAUCAGACAUACAUAUAUGAAUAUUCCAGCUGACUGUUUGUUAGACCAGAAAUGGUAUUUUUUUCCCUUUUCUUUGAUUUGGUUGAGUGGAUAUGGAGACAUUCUGAUAUACAAGUUUAGUGUAUGGAGCUACUCUAUCUACCUUCACCUUUUUUGCUUCAUUUGUAACUUGACCUUCUUUAUUUGCGGUGUUAUCAGGUUUAUGAGUGGAUGGCUGAUCAAGGAGAUAGAUUUGCAUUCACGUCCAGUGACAUGGCUAUCCAGGUGGAUCUCCUUGCCAAAGUGCACGGUAUUUCACGUGCAGAAGAGCACUUCUCAAAGCUCCCUGAUGUCUUGAAGGACAAGCGCACUUACGGUGCUCUUCUAAAUGUUUAUGGACAGGCAAAGAUGAAAGAGAAAGCUGAGGCCAUUGUCGAAACAAUGAGAAACAGUGGGUACGCAAUCGAUCCACUUCCCUUCAAUGUGAUGAUGACUCUGUACAUGAAUGUUGGAGAACAUGAUAAAGUUCCUAAGAUCAUUCAGGAAAUGAGGGAAAAGAACAUAAAAUAUGACAUUUAUUCCUACAAUAUCUGGAUAACAAAUUGUGCAGCGAUGCAAAAUGUAGAGGAGAUGGAAAGAGUGGUAGCUUUGAUGACUUCUGAUAGCAAUAUUAAUGCAAAUUGGACCACUUACACAACACUCGCAACCAUGUAUAUUAGAUUGGGCAACUUCGAAAAGGCUCAAAAUUGCCUAAAAGAAGCUGAAAUUAGAAUGACAGGUAGAGAUCGAACACCCUUUAAUUAUCUCAUCGGGCUUUAUACCAGCAUAGGGAAGAAGGAAGAUGUCUAUCGAAUUUGGAACUGGUACAAAAGAAGCUUCCCCACAAUGUUGAAUUUAGGAUAUCAAUCGAUGCUAUCAGCUCUGAUCAGGCUAGGUGAUCUUGAUGGUGCUGAAAUGAUCUAUGAAGAAUGGAUGUCCAAUGCGUCAAAUUACGAUCCCAAGAUAUGCAACAUUUUAGUGGGUUGGUAUGCUAGAAAUGGUUUUGUCCGAAAAGCCAAAAAAGGCAUUGAUCGUUUGAUUGAGAAAGGUGGAAAGCCGAAACCUAUCACAUGGGAAGUCCUCGCAGAAGGCUAUAUAAAUGAGAAGCAGCUGUCUGAGGCAUUGUCGUGUAUGAAAGAGGCUGCUUCUUAUGAAGGUGUGAACAAUUGGAGGCCGAAACCAGCAAACAUUGCUAGCCUUGUGGCACUUUGCAAUGAGAAGAAUGAAGCAGGGAGUAGAGAUUUGUUGGCAGAGAUACUAAGAAGUAGAGGGUUUCAUGAAAGGGAGGAGUACAAGUCGUUGAUUAGCUCAUAACAUAUCAAGGAAGCUAAUGCUGCGACAAUCUUUGAUUUUGCCUGAGAGGGAAUUAGAGUGGCUUGGCCGCUCAUAGUUUCAAGUGUUUAUUAUUCCGAAUCUUAAUAAAGUCUCUGUGCUGAAUUUUGUUUUGUCAAUAAUCGUGGCUGGAGAUAUGAGGUAUUAAUACGUACCUUACUGGAUUAUUAGACCAGCUGAUGCUCCAAAGAUGAAGAUAACAGGAACCUGAGCCUGGAAUGCACACUAUUUCGGCAUUCUUCUAAUUCUUCUGAGCACUUUCCGGAGCCAUUUUAUGUUUUUUUAAGCCCAGGUUAGUUGUUUUAUUUAUCAACAUAUAAGCUCUUAAGAUGUUUCUUAUUAGGACCAGAGGAAUAUAGAGGUUGCUGCUUUGUUAUUUCAUAUCUUUUAAAUACUAAAGCUACAGUUUUUUUUUUUUUUUUUUUUCCACAUAUCCCAUCUUAUUGCUUCGUUUUUUAUACAUAUUCUCAUUCCUUGGUCCUUAGGAGUUAGGACAAGUCAUUUUUCUGUUUGUGUUAUUACUUGAAAGCCAGAAUGCUUCAAAAGUUGCACUCAGACAUAAAUAAGCUAACGAUUCACAAGAUGUCAUUUCGAGUCUGCUAUGUGGUUUGAAUAUGAUCUAUAACUUUUUCCGCAAUAUUUUAUUGACAGAUUUUUUUUUUUUUUUCUUCUGAGAAUAGGGGUACCAAUGGUUUGGCUACUGUGCAUUUUUCAAGUACCGAUGGUUUAUACCUCAUUUUCUUUAAAGGUUAGAGAUGAGUGUUAAUCAUGGAAUUGCAUUACAACGGCACCAAAUGGGAUAGCUCUAUUGGGCCAACUUUGUAGACUACCCUUACCUUUUAUUAAUAUUUUAUGUUUUCGGAUGAGCAGGAUGGGUUUAGGAUCUUCCCUUUUUCAUUGCGAAUCCUUCUAAUUUCUUAAGGUUUUAUAAUUUUCUUACAAUAGAAAAGUAGGAGUAUGCUUAAUUUCUUAGUUUUGAAGAUUCUCUGUAGAAGUGGGGUAGAGUGCUUAUAAUAUGCUAAACAAAGGUUAUUAGAUAAAACUGGGGAGUGAAAACCCUCGUGAUUCAUUGACAUAGAUAGGGCUAGUUAGAGCCCUACUUAGGGCUUCAUAUGGGUAUUCAGAAUCUUUCGCUAAUCAAAGAAAAGAAAAGAAAAAAGGAAAAAGGUUAAUUUGAGCUGUACUGUAGCAUUACACAUGCUUGGGAGCGUGGGGCCGAGCUAGGAAUUAUGCCUUGUAGAUGGUCAAUUUAAAACAAACAAAAAAGAGCAAAGAUCAUUCUUUCCUGAAAUUUAGUCAUAAGCUUAAUUACUUUUACACCCUUUUGGCUAUUCCCUCACUAGUGCAAAACCCACAAGCCACAGAUUUCUUAGAGAAAGCCAUUACCUCGCUGUACACUGUAAGGAUGCUGUACAAAAAGGUUAAGCAAAUUAUUGUAAUUAGUUGGGAUGCGACUUAGAAAUGUGACCCUUUUUUGUUUUCUUUUGUGUAUUUGUACACAAGAUGAUGGUAGUGACCUUUAUCUAAAUAGAGAUGGGCGAACAGCUAGGGUUUCCACCACAUGAAAAGGGAACCCUGAUGGAUGGUUGGCCAACUUGGGCUCCUUUGAUGUCUCGUCUACGGAAGGACCAUUCUAAACUAGGUCCCAUACAGGCUUGUGGAGUGGUGGCUCGCCUUUGCCCCGUAUGCUGCACCUAAAACGACCCGAUCCGCCAGCAAUAAUAACUCGUUGGAUCUAAACCACCGGUCCACAAUGCUUAAAACUACUUAUUAUUAUUAGUAUCCAUGGUCUCUUAUAUAUUCAAUCCCAGUUUCAUUUUCAUCUGAUGUGGAACUAUUGGAGUGAUACAGCACCUCCAAAAUUCUAUAAAUAAACUAUACUGCUUGUCUAUAAUCAUUUUAUGAGCUUCUAAAAUUAGAACGUCAUUCGUGGAUUCUGUUCUAUCAAUUUUAGACAUCUAUUAGAGGAUCGAAGUAAUAUUUUCUUUUUAUACUGUUAGUCAUUCGUGGAUUCUGUUCCAUCAAUUUUAGACAUCUAUAAGUGGAUCGAAGUAGUAUUUUCUUUUUAUACUGUUAGUUUGUUUGGGACGAGACGCCAUUAGAUAGCACAUUUUCAAUUUCGGAAACUUAUAAUUUCUUAUCCAUGCGAUUGUUUAGAUGUUGAAGUUCACAUUUAUUAUAUAUUAAGCAUGGUGUAUGAGAUGUAUGAAUAGACAGGGUGGAGGGCACUAAUAUCUCCUUACCUUGCACCAACCAAUUUUGUUUGUUCAUGUGCUAUACAAUGCUAGGUGGGUGCACUAAUGGUGCUGAUGUCAUAAGUUUGUAUGCGCUCUGUAGGCAGUAUUCAACAGCCAAAUUGUCGGCAAGAGAAAGAGAAAAUUUUUUUUAAGGAUUUGAUCUUUAUUUUAAGGGAUCUUUGGUUGUUAGAUUGAUUCCCACUAAAUGGCAUUUAUUUUGAUGGUCAUCUAUAGCUGCAGAUAUUGAAAUGGUAAACAUAAAUAUGUGAAAACCCUGGGUCGAUCGACUUCCUGAAAAAUCACUUGAUAGGUUGGUGAUCAGAAAUUACCAAACCUGAGAUCGCUAGUUUGUAGCGACCUCAAAAUUCGUGCACACAUUUAUCUAGUUUAAUGCGACAAUGCUCUUUUUGUCGCUACUGGCGAAAGCAAAACUGAAAAAUUAAGAGAAAUUACAGCCUGGACAUGGCAGUUCACCUUAGUUGGCAGUGGAACCCGUAAUAAUAUACCAUGAUCCUACCAGGCCUAACUUUUCAUAAAUUGUAGACAAUGAUGGGUUUAAUUUGCCGAAUUCGAUCGUUGUCUUUUUCUGCUACCUCUUUCAGUAGUUCCGGCCGAACCCAGGCGCCUAUCAGGAUAUUGUAGUGUUUCUUUCUUUGUUCUACUUUCUGUUUUUGCUCUAUAAUUCACGUAAAAGGUACGUGAAUGGAUUCGGGCCAACCUGUAGUUGGGCAUAUCAACUAUCAAGUGAUAAACAAGGAAUAUGCCUUCCUCUCUCUCUCUCUCUCUCUCCUCUUCUCCCCCAUUUGCUCUGUCCGUAGUUCGUUAUUCCCAGAUCCCAAAUAAUCUGAUCCCCCGCCCCCAGUAAUAUCCGUCGGCGGUGUUCCACGUUCUGACUGUAAUAAUAAUAAUAUUAAUAUUAAUAUUAAUAUUCCUACACCCCAUGAACAGCUAAGCCAUCUUAUUCCCUCCGCUCCCCAAAACUAUCCAUCCUAACCGAACUCAAAAAAAUGUUUACAUCCGUGCCAUCCUAUGUGAUCAGAGGAAGUCUACGGUGUCACACUUAUAUUAUAUUAUAAAUAACAAGUCCAUUAUAUCCUUUUUUUUCUAUUAAUUAUAAUUAUGAUGGGACCGGUGAAUCUAAGAGAGAACAAUCCAAUAUAACUAGUGCAUUCUAAAUUUUUUCCUAUGAUCGGCGGUUACUUUUCACACAUGGCAUCGAUGCAAAUAUAUUUUUAUCAUUUGUUAUUGUUAUACAUGCAGUAGGGGGGGGGGCGCCGCAGAGUUUUCCAACUGGAUUUGGGGGUGGGGGCGCAACGCAUCUGUAAAGUCGCUGGAAUGCCAGCGAAUGUCUAAAUCCGCACGGCAUAUUAACAUGCCUGCUGUAAAGUCCGUGCUCUCCCAUCUAGGUAAAUUUCACCCAGAUUUACUUACUUUGAUUCUUAAAUAUUUAGAUUAAAUAUAUAUUUAUCCGUUCCAUUCUCUUUCCUGAGAACCCUCAAUGGGGAUAAGGGGGGUUAAACUAUGAUUGGAACCUCCUUUAUCCUAACCUUUAUUGGUCGGCAAGAAAGUAAAAGAAGCUUGCUGAGUUGGUUACCCAAAGACUUAACCACCAUCCCCCCACGUGUCAAUAGUCAUUUAAUUUUACUUACAUAGUUACAUACAUACAUUUGUAUACAAUCAAUUUAAUUUUUCUCUUUCCUAUAGAAAAAGAAAAGUAUGAUUUAUGAACAAAAACAGUAAUUAGUAUCAAAAUGUUAAAAUUACAUUAGAUUCUUCUUCUUCUUCUUUUCUUCCUUUGCUCCUUAUGCUUAGAUAUUUGCUUACAAGCAAGCUGCCUAGUUCCUAGCUACUAUAUCCAAUCUAUUAAGAUAAUUACAAAACUUAUGCCACUUGUUUAUAGGUAGUUGGAUCAACCAAAAUCUCAAGAGUAAACAAGAGGGAUUGUAAUGCAACAUCAACAUCUAUAAUGGCUCAAAAAGAAAAAGAAAAAAAAGAAAGAAAAAGAAGUGGUCCCUUGCUUCAUCAAAGCAUGCAAAGCAAAUCCAACAAGGCAAAACCUUUCGACCUAAUUUGGGCAUUAAUUGUCAAUCGCAUUUGGAACUGAAUUGUUAAUUGUGAACCAUAACUCCAACCAAAUCGCUAAAAGCUUUCAAAACACAUAACAUGUGAUCUCACUAUUUUUUUUUAAAAAAAAUAUAUGAUCAAAAUAAAGUUAGACUCGCGGCCAUUGGUUAAGCAUUUGCUCUCUGUAUCGAUAGUAUUCUAACUUCAUUGUUGAUGUCGCUAUUUUACUCUUCGAAAUAAUCCUGUGCGCAUACUCCACCUUAAAUACAAAUAAACAUUUCAAUCUAUAAAAAAAAAUAUGUAUUACUUUCAUAAAAGCACGACUCUUAAUUAAUCAAAGCUUAUUUAAUAUUCAAUGACAGGGAAAGAUGCAUAUGUGAUUGAAAACAACAGAGAAUUUAACUUUCUCACCCAUAGAAAGAAUUGUAUACGGCAUUGCCUCUGUAAAUUGCAGUUAUAAAGACAAGCAUACGUGUCCCAUCGAAUCAACAUAGAAGAUGUUUUUAUUAUUAUUAUUAUUAUUUUCUUCUCUUGUUAAAAUUACUCUCUCUUCUCUUUUUUUUCUUUUUCUUUUUUUUUACCCUCACUAUCAAUACUCGAUAGACGUGAUGAACAUACUCUAUAUUCCAUAAUUAAUUAAUGCAGAUUAACUAAUUUCACGAUUAAGUUUAUUAUGAUUGGGAGUGCAUUCUCUCUCUCUAUUGAUAAGAUACACAUUCAAUUACUAUAAUAACUAAUUAGGCUUUGAAUUUAAAUUUUUUGGUGUUAAUUAUUAAGUCCUUUAUCACUUGUGCUAGAGACUGUUUAAUGAGUAAUUAGGCUCUGAUAAGAUACCCGCAUAUAUGAUGAAUAUUCCAUUUGUUAGUCGCAUAUAAUAAUCCUCUCUUCUAAUCUGUAAUUAGGCUCUACUGGACACCCCAAAAACCCGGUCCAGCUCUCUCUAUCCGGUUCAACAAAUUGACCUACCACCAAGAAAAUAAAAUAAUAAUAAAUAAUUAAAUAUAAAAAACUUUCUAAAUUGAGUAAAUCAUAUCACUUACUACAACACUUAACUAAAAUAAUAAAAAAUUAAUCUCUUUGUAGCUCACAUGUUUGGUCUAAUUAGAGCUUCGUGAACACAUAAUUCAAGUGAAAUUAAGUAAUCUCCUUGAACAGCAUUGGUAAAUUUUUUAUGAAAACUUUGUCUGAUUUUUUUUUCUUAUUUAAUUGCUACUUUUAAAAGUAAAAAAAAAAUAGAAAAAGUACAUAAAAAUAAUCUAAUUUUUUGUUUAUUUGGUUUAAAUAAUUCAUUAAAUUCAAAUUAUUCUAUAUGUCUGAAAAUCAUUACUUCAAUAUCUAUCUUGUCCAAAAUUAUUAUAAUUUUUUUAUGUUAAAAAAUUUUAGAGAAUUAAUACAGUUCCAAAACCCAAAACCCAUCAUUGGCACAAGGUUGUAAUCAAUGAAAUGACCAAACUGCCCUUUUUAACUACCUCUCUCUCUAUUUUUCCCUUCUAUAUAUCUUUCCCCUCUCUCUUCUCACUCCUUUUAAUACAAAAAAAAAAAAAAAACAAACAAUCCAAACCUCUUCUUCUUCUUCGUCUUCUUCUUCUUCUUCCCCACCAGCUCCCACCUCCAAAACCCUCCAUUAAUGGCGGAGCUGGUGGAGGACCCCAACUCGAUCCCCCGCGUCGUCUCCAUCCUCUCCUCCCUCCUCCACCGCGUCGCGGAGCGCAACGACUCCCUCCUCCUCCGCCGCCCCUCCGCAGCCGCCGCGCCGCGCCACCGCGCGGCGGCGUUCCACGGGCUCACGAAACCCUCGAUCUCCAUCAAGAGCUACCUCGAACGCAUCUUCCGCUUCGCCAAUUGUAGCCCCGCGUGCUACGUCGUCGCCUACAUCUACCUCGACCGCUUCCUCCAGCGCCACCCUUCCGUCGCCGUCGACUCCUUCAACGUCCACCGCUUCCUCAUCACAAGCGUCCUCGCCGCCGUGAAAUUCAUGGACGACGUGUAAGUACUUGUUCCGACUCAAUCCUCAUCGCCAUUGGCAUCUAAUGUAGAAUCACGUUGUUGCGAAAUUGCUGCAGUGUAAUCCUCGAGGGUUUUAGGUUUGGUGAUUUGAUGGAUCGAAUAGAUAUUAGUACAACUAUUUCAGCUAAGCGGUUACGGAUUGUGGAAUUGACUAAACACCCAAAUUGAAUUGGAUUUUGGAAGUGAUCUUGGCGAAAUUGCACGAAGAAUUAAAAGUGGAGACCAAGGUUGAUAAUGGGUUUUCAUUGAAUUCUAUUAGGGAAGUGGAAUCGAGUAAAACCCUAACUGAAUUAGAUUUGUAAGUGAUCUUAGCGUAAUUUCGUGAAAAAAUUCUAGUACAAAAACAGAGAAUGAUGAUGGUUCCUCAUAGAAAUCUUUUGCUUCACUUCAUUGGAGAAGUGGGAUUGCGUAAAACUGAAAAUUGAACUCUAUUUGGGAGUUGUUAUGGUGAAAUGAUUGAGCAAUUCUCACUCGGUCUUUAAUCUUCUUCAAUGUCAGUGAGAAUUCAGAUGUGUUUCAGUGACUACUCUGUAUGAUUGAGGUCCUUCUACUAUUCAAAAUUUUAAUGAUGACAAUAAUUGAGGUCCUUUGCUUCUUAUCAUUCAAGUCCGCUAAUACUGUUCAAUUCAUUAUAUGCGAGUUAUGAAAAAGUUUCACCCAGGUUUUAAAGUUUUCAAUUGAUUGCUUUCCUGUGCCCACUCUCCUUUUUUGCCGCUGCCAACUAGGAAUGAGGUGGGCUUGUCUUCUUACCUCAUUCUCUUUUUAAAGUGCAUCUUACUCAUCCUUUCUGGGGGGGGUUGGGUUAUUUUAAUGCUCUAAGAAAGAAGGAUCUAUCACAUGGUUUUUCUAAUUACCACCCUUAAGGUGCAUAGUGAUUGGUUAGUGCCAAUGUGAUUCCAUUACGCCAUUCAUGAAUGUGGACCCAAAACUUUGCUUUUGCCCUCACCUUUUCCUAUGGAUUGAAUACAUGCCAGUUGUGGGAUGGGGACGAUUUAAUAGCCGCUGUUAAAUUCUUAUGAUUUCAGGAUUUUUAUCUUCAGCUAAAGUUAAAACCAAAGUUAAAACCAUUGCUCAUUAUGAGAAGUCAUUAGAAGUGAUGAUAAGGGCUCGGGAUAUCAAAUCAGGUCAAUUAGUCCGUCAGUUGGAUGUUUGGUGGUCUGAUGGUCACUUUUAACCGCAAAUGAACCAAUGAGUAGGCGCAGAAGAUUCAACUCACCACAGAAGGGACCGAGAGGACUGCUGACAUGUGGGGUUGUUUGAAAUCUAAACUGCUUGGAGAUAAUUAGAAAUUUGGUAUUCUACUUGAGAUGAUUUCAUUAUACAAGCAAGAAAGGUGCAGUGUCUCACUUUCUUAAACAGUACACGAUGCAUUAAGAUAACAGGUCAUGCACACAACAUCGCACCAUAAAUCUCUCAAACCCAAUCUGAUACCUCUUGUAAAACUUGAAUUUUAUUACACUAAUGUUAAGUAGGUUACCAUGUGAGUAAAAUUCUUCCUCGUCUACGGCAUCAUACAUAUUGGUCAAUGCAAGGUCGAUCGAAUAGGAAAUAGCCUUAAGAAUCGUCAUGUACUUUUUUAGAGGGCGAGUUAAUUUGGUAGGCAUGUGAUCGAGAGCUAAUUGUUUCCAUUACUCACUGUCCCGUUCAUCGAUAGUUCAUUAAUAAGUCAACAUUGACUUGCCUAGUCACCCUCGUCACAGGUAACUCAAAUUCACAAUUCGUAUUGCUACCAUCAGCAGAGAUGAACAAAGAUCCAACUCUGCUAAUUUUAUCUCACUGGCACUUAUUAUGUCUUAUUAAAUAAUAUAUCGUUUCAAUUGCUUCUAGAUGCUACAACAACGCGUACUAUGCAAAGGUUGGAGGGAUCAGCUUGAUGGAGAUGAAUUACUUGGAAGUGGAUUUCUUAUUCGGCGUCGGCUUCGAUUUGAAUGUGACCCCUGUAAUCUUCAACUCGUACUGCUCCAUUCUUCAGAGCGAAAUGGUGUACUUAGAAGCAACCCCUGCUCCCCCAAGACUACAUUGCUGCUUGUCUGAGGAAGAGUCCAGCAGCUGCCAACAGAAGCAGCUAGCUGUGUGAGUUUGUAUUUUUUUUUUUUUUUUUUUUUCUGUACAUAGAUCUGUAGCGAACACUUUUUAUUAGUUAUCUUGGUGGGCAGUGGAUUAUACUGUUUUGUUUAAAGUUCCUGUUCCCUUAGAUCCAACCACUACUCAUGUGGAGCAUAAGCCUCUGUCUUUUUAAUCUUAAUCCUUCUUGGCUUUGUCCUUUUCCUCUUCUUUUUCCAUUUUUCAGUACGUGGUUUUGUGAUUUACUUGUGUGAUGAUGGUGUGUAAGAAAAAGGGGGUGGUAAAAAAAGAACAAAAGGAAGCUUUUGUUUAGAGCAUCAGCAUGUUUUCUUAUGAUAGGCCUCUUAUUAUUAUUUUUUGUUUGGUGAUUUUACCCUCAAAAUUAAGCUUAGCUGAAAGAGUCGGAAAAUAUUACCAACUCAAAGAUUUUACUGGUUUGAUGACCGGCUAAUUCACUAUUUUUAGCUAUUUUUAAGCGCCAUUUCACAUUUGACCAAUUCCUCCGAACCUGUUCGAUCGAUUAUUGUUUGUAUAAUACAGUUGUGCGCAAAACAUGGCAAAUAUGGCUCCAUGUAUUUUGAUGAUUGAGCCUAGUAUUAAGCAAAGGGCCAAUACAAACUCAUAAUUAACAUCAAUAAUUUAUGGAAUGCAUUCUCCUUAAUGGAAGAGUUUUGUAUUGCUUUACAAAUUAAAUUUAAAUUAUUAUUAUACCAAUUAAAUUUCACUAAAUAGACAAAAGCAUACAUAGAUGGACAUGUGUCCUAACGCCUAUAGUACGAUGUGCCAACCACUACAAAAAGGGCAAAAUACUUGCAUCUCAUGGGGUGGGCUCCACCCCAUGCCCCAUGCCUAAUAAUUAGACACAGUGGAUCUUCGAGAAGAGGAACGUGAGGGUUUGGGUACAUACACAACUAACACAGGAUUUGCAAGGGUGUUUGGAGCCCAUUGCAUGUUUUGGUAACGUGGCGUGAGGAUACUAAAUUGUGUAUUAUUAUCAUUAGAAUUAAUUAAAGCCCUCAUAAAGGCCUCCAUGUAGCUCCAUUUUUCCAUGCUACUUGUAUUUGUACACAACAGAGGACAAACCCCUUUUCUCCUACAAUUGUAGGGAAAAUGGCAUAGCGACCCCCUCAACUCAACUAACUAAAAUGCCUCAAAUAAUAAGUACAAUUAAAAGUUAAGAAAGAGUAAAUUGAGAGCCAAAUUUUUUAACAUAAAUAUAUUGAAAAGCUCUAUUUGGGUGACCUGGAGAAGAACAUGGGCAUAGGAUUUUGCAAGUUGGUUAAUUUAUGUAUAAAUUAUAAAGAAGACAACCAGGCAUUAGUAUUCACAUGUGAUCAGCUCUCCUGAUCUCCUCCUCACAACAUGCAACUCCUCACAUGGCCCUCUCAACAUGCACAGUGAUCCACAACAAUUGGUGCCUCACCAUUUAUCUCUAAUUCAAAGGAAACAAACCCAUGUGAUCUUUUUCUCCUGUGUUUACGUUUCCAAAUAUAAACCACCCAACUUUGGCCUUUGUGGAGUACAACUUUUUCUUUUUUUCCUUGUUCUUUUCUUUUUCCAAAGGGAAAAAAAGCCAAUUUUCGGUGCUUCAUGGGUAUAAGAUGAUUCUAUGCUUUUCCAGCUCCCCUUUUGGUCGUUUCCUAGCCAACUGUGUCCGUCUCUUCCCAAAUUCAAAUUUGAGGAGAAAAGGGGGUAAUUUUACUUAGAAUUUUACUACACCCACACAUAAUUACAUGCAUAUAAUUAAAAUUAUAUUAUUCAUGUGAUUUAAGAGACUAUUAGUUGUAAGAUUCACACGAAUAAAAAUGAAAAUUUAUAAUAAUAAUUAAAAAUCCUAUUGCCUGCAAAAUUUAAUUACAUAUAUAGAUAGAUGCAAAAUUGUGGCAAAUCACAUGUGUGAUGUCUCGAUAGGUUCGCAUCAGAUGAAAAAAGGAAUUAUGAGUGAAAAUAUAAGAAUCAGAGAUUCUAAUACUAAUAAUCGAACUAAAGAAUUUUGGACCGAUAAUUUAGUAUUUAACGAGUUAUUGAUGCUGGUGAGCUGAGUCGUUACAAUAUGCUUCCUAUAUUAAUAUGGACUAAACCUUGGGCUCAGAUGUUUCUAAUCCGGGCUAAAUUGGAUUAGCUAUGCACAAGCAUAAUAAACAUUUGUAACAGUCCCAGUAUAUUAAAUUAUCCUUUGUGCACAUGAUGCGGAGAUGGAGGACCAGCUUCAGCCCAAUCUAAAACGCUUUUGGGUUGGGCCACAUUUGUUGGGCCCAAACCACUAAUACCUUGGAAUUGAAGGGGCUUUUUUCCCUUUUUUUUUUUAAUUUUAAUAGAUACUCGAGGACAAAAGCAUUGGGGCUAAUCGCACCGUGUAGAUAAUUUUUCAGCCCCAUCUCCACCUUUUUAAUUUACCGAGUGCUACAUAAACUUUUCAUAAAAACAGAAAGAAAGAACUGUAACGCUCCAAUGGUUCCGUAUCGGAUGAAAAAUUAAUUUUAAUUAAAAUAUAUGAGGUCUACAUGCUAGUAAUAACAACUGGAUUUCAAUAUUUUGGGCCGGUGGUUUAGGUCUAACGAGUUAUUGUUCUUAGCGGGUCGGAUUGGUACAAUUGGUAUCAGAACCAAAUACCAGCCAGAAGUGAUAAAAUGCUACACCAAUGGAUUUGGUGGAAACCACCUCUAGAAUCUCACAUCGCUCGUUAAUUCUGAUUUGCAACGGAUUUGGUGAGAACUGUCUAUUGAAUCAGUAGUAAUUCUGGUCUGCAAUAAAUUUGCCCUUUGAAUAAUACCACAUCGGAUAAAAAAUUGAUUCUGAUUAAAUAUAUAAGGCCAACAUGUUAAUAAUAAUAAUUUGAUUUAAAUAUUUUGGGUUGAUGGUUUGAAUCCAACGAGUUAUUGUUUUUAACGUGUAUGGUCCUCUCAAGAAAAAGAGGGAGGAAAAAGAAGAAAGCUUAGGAAUCAUCUAACAUGUCAAAAAGAAGAAGGAAAAAAAUAAAAAAGUUGCUGGGGAGAGAAUCGAUCUUCUAAAUUUAAAAUCUUGUUGCUUUAGAAUUUAAGUGGAGAUCAUUUUUAAAAAUUAAACAAAGCAUAUAACUUACUAUUUUUAUUUCUCUCUCUCAAAAGGAAAAAAAAAAAAAAAUCUAGGGCAUCAAAUAGCCCACAUAUCUUUCUUCAUUUUUCUUAUUAUGCUAAGGAAGAAUUUACCUGUUUCUUCUGCACGCCAUGCUUAGCUGUUGAAUUUCUCAGUCUCUUACAAGUGUAUAAAAUAUUCGAAAUAUUUUCUUAUAGUAUAUAACUGAGCGCAUACAUAAGGUAAUCAUAUCUAAUAGCUUUCUGACUGUCAAGUCAUACCAUGAUUAUGCAUGUGUGCUAAAUUUACAUCAUGUAGCAGUUACGUAUCCUCUACAAGCACUCUUGUAGGCUUCAGUUGUUACCGUUUGCACGCCGCGGCCAAUCGUUACGCGAUCUACGGUAUGAGUUCCGGUUUCCGCCGCCGCCAAAUCCACCUCUGGGACUCCCACCAUAUCCACCGCCGAAUCCAUAUCCUCCGCGGCUGCUACUGCUACUGCCACUGCCAUCUCCGCCUCCGCCUCCGCCUCCGCCGCCACUACCAUAACCAUAACCACCGGAUGAACCCGAACCAGACCCGAAUCCAAACCCGAAACCCUGCCCACUCCCGCUCGAACUCCGGCCCGAGCCCGAACCAGAACCAUAACCCCACCCAACUCCCGGGCCCGAGCCCCAUCCCCAGUUGUAGUUCCAGCCACCACCGGGCCCCGAGCCUUGGCCCGAUCCAGAGUCUCCUGUCCACGCACCGCCGCCACCAGGAGGAGGUGGUGUCGGCGGCGUCUGAGCCGUCGGAUCCGGCGCUUGUGCGCCGUCCAUGUCGUCCGCAGAGGAGAGAGCGAAGGCAAAGGCUGAUAUUAAGGUGACGAGGAGAAUAAUCUUUUGCAUUUCGUUUUGUGCUUUUUUGUUUUGUUUUGUUUCUGGGAAUGUUGGUUUAGUAUGUUUAGAUAUUUAUUUAUAGGAUGUAUAUAACCUGAAUUGAAUACCAAGUUUGUUUGUGGUUAGCAGAUACGUAUGAAUGGGGCUCUCGUGACUGCGACUUCCACAGCCCACACAACGACACAACAGAGCGGAGUGCGGUUUUAAUUAAAGAGACUUUUUUUCUUUGUGUGUGUGGAUAAGAUGUGUCGAAACUUCCUCCACCACCACCACCGGCCCAGCAUAAAGUUAAUACCUCCCAUUUCUUUUUUUCCCUGUCUUUCGACGCUUCUUUUAUCCAAACCACUGCAGCAAUCUACUGACAAAAUCUCUGCUCUUAUUUCUUUUGGUUUUUUAUUCGUUGGCCUUUCAGGAGUGCGAAAAGUAAAAAAUCUGCUAUAUUCUACACACCUAAGAAUAAAAACAAUAACCGUAGAGCUGCAACGCCACACACAGAGUUCAUUGAAUUCGAUAGUUUUCUUUUCUUUUUCUUUUUUUUUUUCUUACGACCAUUUGGUUUUGGCUUGGAAGUGCCCGAGACAAGGAUUAGUGCAUAUCGCGCACGCUUUGAAGAAGCUUUGAUAGUCAGAGGUGUGGCGUGCGUAUGAACCCCUUGGAUGGGUCUGUCACGUACGUGUCGCGUUCAAUAUCAGAACAAUUGUUUGCACACAUACAAGCGGGUGGCUAAACUAGAGUUCCAACCAGCCAAAAUGUUGAUUACAUGCAACAAAUGAUUUAAGAAUUAAGAAUUGAGACACUUGUAGCAACUACCGAUGAUAAAAUAUAUAGUUUGCAGUGUUAUAAAUAAAAUAUAUAGUUUGCAAUGCUACGAGUCUACAAACACAUGUGAAAAGCAUAACAUGCGCGGUAUAGAUCCACACGAAGCCUUCAAACAUAGACACUUGUUCUUUCAAUUCUCACGCUUCACAUCUUCGAGUACAUGCACCACAAAUCAACAUAUAGGCUCGAAAAGUAGUCAUUGAAUGCAAAAGUGCCACAAACCCUCACAUUUACUGUCCAAGCUAACGCCAUGACAACAACCUGUGCCUCUCGCAAGACCACAAACAUGAGAAUUUUUAAUGAUAAAAGAUAUUAAAAGUAUAAAUGAAUCAUCCUGGCCAACCCUAGCUGUCAAAGUAUAAAACCUCAAACUAUAUAGGAAAUUUUCAAGGAAGUGAUGCACACAAACAUCCAGUAACAUAAACAAUAGAAUGCAAUAAAGUGAGAAACAAAAUGAUAAUAACAAUUACCCUUCACACAACCAACAUAUCAAAUUCUUUAGAUGGCCGAGCAUUAACCAUGAUGACGAGUCCUCCAAUUCAACAAUGAGGAAUACACUAUCUUCCUUAUUCACAAAAGCAACUGUACUACAAUGCUCAAAUAAUAUGAAACGUUGUAAUCAGGCAGAUAAAAAAAAUAUAGGUUUACAGAUAUUCCUUCCAAACAUCACACUAAUAAAGCAACCAAAAAUGUUAGCAAGGAGAAUUUAAGAGUCAUUAGAAGACAUUUUAGCAAGAUAGAAAAAUACAUAACUCCAUAUUGGAAACCCUCCAACCUCAAGCCAACACAGACCAAAAAAUUAGCCAACUAAUAAGAGCAGGAUAAACAUGAAGUUGAGACUGAGAACACUCUUUCCAUAGUUAUUGCACUUCAAAAAUUAAACAACAUAAACCUUUUUCUCCUGGCAGAAUAACUAAUGUAAUCGCAUAAACCGGCUCCGUGGAUAAACAAUUCAAACUGAUCCACAGGUUCCUAUCAAACAGCGAAAUAUCAACUAGUGAUUUACUCUAGGCCUAAUCAUAGCAUUACUGGUCACUGCAAUCAUAGCUACCAGCAACGUGGCAUUAGGCCUACUGCAAAGAAAACACUGCAUAAAACUGACUACAAAUGAAAGCUUCGCAGAAGAUCCCUCAGUGACCCUUUUAAAAUCACACACACAGCUGAUCAGACUAAUUCAAUGAUAAUCCAUCACUCAAUCUUUUGAUCCAAUCACCAGCAACAAAAACACAGAAGGUUUUUGAGAUGUGGGGAUUGGAAGAAUUGAGCUCAGGAAGAAGUAGAAAGAAGCAGCUGCUGCUAAGUGUCAUACGGCACUUCCUAUCUUAAGGCGUUUCUUCCUCAUCGGGAUAUAACACGAAGAAUCUAUAAGUGGAUUUAAAAAGAACAAUCGACACUACUAGUAAUACAGGCAAAGUAAUAAAUACAAUAAACUACAGUAUACAUGAAUUGGUGCUGGUUCAAACAUUCAACAAUAAUGUACUAUACUUUACAUGCAAAUAAUUUGACAACAUACAAAACAAACUUAUAUCAAGCAGAAAACAACACUUGUUUCAGCAAUAGCAAAAGAUACAAGAAAAUAGCUAUCUAAAAUAACAGUAGCAUGGCCCUAUAUUCUAAUAGAUCUUGUAGAAAAAAUGAGAGAUAUAGAUCGAUAUACAGCCUCCUAAUGUAACCUACAUUUAAAUAUCAAAUUAUAUAUAAAACACUCAUGCUCGCUCACAACUUUAGUGUAAAAUAGUCAAAUUUGCACCACAUUUUAUCCAAUUACAAAUAAGAUUCAGAAAUGUUUGUCGACAAACCUCUUACUUACAUUCAUUCUCUUGCUAUAAGAAAAUUUUAUACCAAAAGAUAUUUUAAAUAAAUCCAAGCCAGCAUGAGAUUAAUAUAAAAAAUUCUAACAACUUAAGCCUCAGAUAGCCAGACAUAGCUUGCAUCAUACAAGGUUUUUCAACCUCAGCCGGUAAUUCCAACUUUGUUAAAGAUAUCAUCAUAGGCCUAUUUAUCUACUUAAUCCUAUUCUGUAACACAAUUUUGAAAAAAAAAGGAUACAACAUUAUAUAGAAUUAAAAUGCAACAAAUGUAAUAUAACAGGAUACUUGCAGAGUAAAUAAUAAGAACGACCCAAUGCAAUGUAUCAUAAUGCUUAGACUUAUUUUUUUUUCUUGUUCUUUUCACAAUAGCCUACUGAAAUAUAGACAAAGUGAUUUAAAAAAAUAGAAAUAUAGAUUUAACGACCAUAGUCAUCAGAAUAAAAAGGUUUUUCUCAUCCACAAACCGAUUAUCAAUCGAUUUGUGUAGGAAGGUGUCCUAAGAUUAUAUAAUUCUCGUCACCUGACAUAGGCCAAUUUAGGAUAUAUAAAUAAAAAAAAUAUAAGUUUCUUUCGAAAUAAUAAAUAAAACUAUAUUAAAGCGAAAAAAAAGAGGUACAAAAAAUCCUGAUUCAGAAGCAAAUGACUUUGAGACAUCACUUGGACAAAAUAAUCCUCAGUUCAAGUGUUGGAUUAAAGUACAAAUUACUUCAUCAUCAUCUAUAUAAUGAGGAACGAGAAAAAUUGAACCAAAAUCAAAAAGAAAAAGAACAAAAAUACAAGAUCAGGAGAUCAUAUACUCAGUGAUGGCGAUUGAGGUUUAUGGUUCGAUUCCGCCAGCGAGAGUCCUCAAUGUUUUCAGUAGAGGGAGCUCUUUUAUCCUCAUCGCAUUAUUCUCCUCUCAAUUUAAAAAAAAAUCGAGAAAAUAACAAAAAAAAAGCCACAAAAACAUCAAAAAUUCGAUGAAAUUUUGAAACCCUAAGAGGAAUCGAUUGCUCGGUUCAGCGGGGUAUCGACAUACAAAUCCCUCGAGAGAGAGACCUGUGAUCUGGUCUGUUGAGCUUGAAAUUUAUGGAGUCGUCAUAGCAAUCUCGAUCCCGAUCGAACAAAUUCUAGAAAAAAGAAAAUUCUACUCUCCACACCGAUCAAUAAAAAAAUCUAGGGGGGAAACAUCUCUAACAGUACAAAAGAAAUAGAAGAAUCGCACGAAAAAAAAAAAAAAAAACCCUAGAAAAUGCGGAAGACGCCUUUGUUGCUGGGAUGAGAGAGGUUUUUAUAACGAUAUCGAUUAGGGUUUUGAAGAGAUCGAUUAGGGUUUCGAAGAGGAGGCCGCAAUUAAGAAUGAGGUGAAACGGGCCUUUGGGCCUCGAUCUAGGGCCAGGCUUAGGUCCUCCUCCGAAAAU
RNAcentral lists this long non-coding RNA (59378 nucleotides) under Ananas comosus (pineapple). RNAcentral describes it as "long non-coding RNA (ACOM_LNC006367)". The record is from RNAcentral. Lineage: Eukaryota; Viridiplantae; Streptophyta; Magnoliopsida; Poales; Bromeliaceae.